UGUAAGUUUGAGACCAUUUCCAUAAGGAUAAGAUGGCAGAGAGACAAUGAAACUGUGUUCUAAGUUGAAACUAGCUUAGAACUAGUGCAAUUGCCUAUGUUUUAGUUGUUUUUUUUUUUUUGUCUCAUGUUUGUGUCUCUUGAUAAAUUUUCAUUCUGUCCUCUUCUUCCCCUCUCACUCAGACAAUCUUCCUCUUGCCAUUUGAUUUCUUCUCUUCCCAAACGGGAACGGAUGUUGUUACCCUGAUAUGUUUUGUCCUUUGAUGCCAUCUUUUCUUGUCUUUGGCAUGUAAUAGGAUCUGGGCGAAUAGGCAAUCCGCUGCUAGGUCAAAGGAAAGGAAGAUGAGAUAUAUAGCCGAGCUUGAGCGGAAAGUACAGACACUUCAAACAGAAGCAACAUCACUCUCUGCCCAGCUUACUCUAGUACAGGUAGUUUCAUCCGCCCAGCACCUUCUAUUCUUUUGUUUCCUAUACCAGUGUCCAGAUUCAAGGGUCUGUUUUCAUUUUCUUUUACUUUUAUGUUUCUUUUCUUUUAUUCAUUUAGAUCUAAUUAUUCAUUUGAUUCUUCUCAUGGUAACUUAUGAGCAGAGAGACACCAAUGGUUUGACUGCUGAAAAUAGUGAGUUGAAACUGCGCUUGCAAGCAAUGGAGCAACAAGUUCACUUGCAAGACGGUGAGCACCUCUCAAAAACUUUUCGGCUAAACCAAUAUCCUUGCUUUAUUGAUCUAUUUUUAUUAUUAUCAUUAUUAUUAAUGGAAAGACAUUAUGGACUGUAUGAUUUCUAUUGAUGGUUUGAAAGAUUUUACAUGUGAUAAUUUGGUUGAAUGGGGACUGAUAUAGUAAAUUAGAUUGAAGCUGCAAUGAGUUCGAUAUGCAUUCUUCACAUAUACUUACCGUUCUAGACAUUUAAUAGCAGGGGUGCUGUGUGUAUGAAGGCAGGGAGAGAGAUCUGCACCUUAGUCUUUAUUGUCAUAAGCUUGAGCUGGGGUUGGUCCAAAUACUGGUACAAUUGGCAUCUGGUUCCUGAGAUGCUACCCAUUGUUUCAAUGUCCUGUUAUUUUGUCUUAAGGUCAUUAUACACUGAUAUGGAUCUUAUACUUUAGCAAAGAAAUAGUAUUUCCGGGAACUUCUUACUGCUAAUUUAUCAUCAUAAGAGUGCAAUAUGUUGUUUCUCAGACUUGAAAAUGCUUUGGAAGCAACAAUUUUACCCCUAGGAGAUACAGCAUUUGAGCAUAUGUUAGAAAAUGUCCUUUGGUGAUAGGAUUUCUGAUGCUGUUAUAAGCGAUAAUUGAAUGGUAGGUUUAUAUAUAUGCUUAACUUGUUGUUCGGAGUUAACUGUGAUUUCCUGUACGACAAAGAGUUGGAACUAAUAUGAUUGAAUUAGCAGUUUAUAGUAUCUCUUACUUUUUCUUCCUAAAUAUAGAAAGGUUCAUUACUGUAAUAAGUAAAUAAUUGUUUAUUGGCAUUGUUCCAACUAUAUCUUAAAUUCCUUUAAGAACUUGUGCUGCUUUUUCCAUCAGCUAUAUAAUUGAGGGAAAUGGCUAAGAUUCGAGAUUUUGUAACCAUUAGUAUGGAUGUGAGGUUGGUGGUUGUAGUGCAAUACUAUUUUGUUUUGGUUAGACUAGAAAAACCUGUAUGCAAUUGGUUAUGGUUGGGAACAGGGUUUGGGGCUUUCGGGAUACCGGGGAUUGGUGUAAAUGCCACAGGAAGAUAAUAAGAUAUAAUGCAAUUUAGUUGGUUUUUAUUACUUUAUUAGUGAUAGUAUGCUUGUAGCGGUAAGGAGUUGUCCUUUUUAACUUUGGGUUAUUGUAAAACGUUAACAAAUGAGCUACAUGUGGACAGUUUGGAGAUUGAUUAGAUAAGUUAUUAACCCGAUGAUGGAAAUACUUGAUCUCAUUCCUUGUUUAGUCAAGCUUCAGCUCUUUCAUUUCAAGUGUGAUAACAAGAGUAUCUCUUAAUAUAUUGAUAUUAUAUUAAUCUUGUGGUAUACCCUACCAGAAAUGUCGACCUUUUGUGGACUGCUUGUAGAUAUGAGUUUUACUUACAGUUGAGAGUGUAAAGAGGUUAUUCAUUAGCUCAAUGUUACUGUAUGGCUCUCAAAGUAGGUUUUCAACUUUUGGUUUGCAAAUUAGUUAGGCUGCACCUCAAUCAUAUUUGAGCUUUUCUGAUUGUUGCUAAUAUUUAUUAUAUUUUCUCCCUUUGUUGUUGUCCAAUAGCAUUAAAUGAUGCAAUGAAAGAGGAAAUCCAGCAUCUGAAGAUGCUGACUGUUCAUCCUAUGCCGAAUGGUGGAGGAAUGAUGAACUUUGCAUCUUUUGGAGCUAGUCAGCAGUACUACCCAAAUAACCAUGCCAAGCAUACUCUUCUGGCAGCACAGCAGUUCCAGCAACUUCAGCUUCACUCACAGAAGCAUCAGCAUCAGCAUCAGCAUCAGUUUUCACCAAAUCAACUGCAUCAUCAACAGGAGCAAACAGGGGAGAUGAGAGCUAGAGGUUCAAUGCCUUCCCCCAACAAGAAAGAUUCUUCAUCAGAUGUAAACUCAACCGCGUCAAAGGAUUAAGGACUGAGAGACCUAUAGGACUGCAGAGGUAUUUAUGGGAGUUUCCCAUUGUUUGAAAUCUUGGUUACACUCCAUUGUUCAAUAAGACCCAUUCUUUUUCAUUUGUUCUUUCACUUACCCGUUUUCUUUACUCAUUUCUACUCAACAUUUAUUGAGCUAAGAUAUAAUAUCAUCCAGUUUAGUUUUUGUUUUACGGAGUUGUCCAAUUUUGAUCCAUUCCAUUUCUUAUAUCGCCAGGCUGAGCUGUUGAUGCUAUAGAUAGGUAUGAGCUUGUCGUAUGAGUUUUAUGAAUGUCACGGAAGUCUGUUUUGUUCAUAUUAGUGGUCCUUUAUGAUUGUUUCAGAAAUUGGUGUUACAGUGGGGAGCUGCUUUUAUUCAGUUGUUUAAAACUGCCUUUGAUAAGUAAUAUAUUUUUGGUACUUGUUUUUGAGUUACUACUUCAAUGGCAUGUUUGUUUUUGAUGUCGCAGAUAAGGUGUUAUCCUUUAAACUCUGGUGAUUGGUACCAUAAGCUGCCAGUCGUUCAGCCUAUACGUACUAAUUGAGGUAAACCAAAAUGAUACAGGUACUGUAUGUUUUUUUUUUUUUUGGUUUUUACCGACAUGUAUCAUUAUUGAUCGAUAUUAAUUAGGUAUUGGUGCAUAUAAAUUUGUUUUCUUAAAGAACUUUCAAAAUAUAUAUUCAUUAAAUUAAGUUAUUGAACUUAAUUAAUUAUAAUUUACUGUAUUUUCAAUAACUUUGGAUAUAUUUUUUUGAAAGUAUAUUUUAUUAAAACAUUAGGAAAUCUUACAUGUAAUUUCAAAAUGUAGUUGAAAAUUGUGGAUUGUAAUCUGCGGGUAAAGAAUUUUUUUUUUAUCAUUCUUGUUCAUUUUGUUGUUUAUGCGUGAAAAUUCGAAUUUGUGUGUUUUUUAGAUUGCAAUGUUUCUUACCAUUAUACCCAAUAUUUGUUGGUGUCAAUAAAGAAUUGAGUAAGAGUGAAAUAUGCAGCUUAAUUCACAAUUUGGCACUUGUUGGUGUCAAUGAAGAACGCUUGUAUUAUAACGUCUCAGUUUUACGUAUUAUAUCAGUAAGCAACCUGUGAUGGAAAGUUAGAAUUGAUAAUUUAUACGAACGUUAACAAACAUUGAAAUUUGAAAUUAAAGGCAAACCUCCUUAAUAUCAGAUACAAAGCAUAUUUCGACCUUUCUUUAGUCUAACAUUUCGAGGUUACAUCACAGCAAUUAAAUCAGAUUUUCAGUAACAUAUAUGCAUAAAGCAUACACGAAUGAUUGUAUACAGAAGUUUAGAAAAAGCAUACUAAUGGUACGAUUGUUGACAGAAGAGAUAGAAGAGACAAUAGAGGGAAAAGACAGAAUUGAGAGAAAUCAGAGGAAGUAACCUGGCUCAAUAGCAUUCAUUUUUGCACAAUUGCCUUUGGUCCUUGUCAUCGAAUAUAAAGGAAAGGAAAAUCUAAGGAAAUACAACUUUAAAAGUUGGUUAAAACAAAUGGUAAAUUAAACAGUAAUUAAUGAAGCUAAACAUCUCGUUUAACUAAACCCUUCUACGUAUCGUUUCAUUAAUUUUUUCUUCCAAAACGUUUCGUUUUGUCAUGGUUUAAUUCUAGCUCGUGACAAAUACCCCCUGCUUGAAAGGAUCCUUGACCUUAAGGAUCAAGGUGCGGGAACUUCUCCUUGAGCUGUUGGAAGGGUUUCUAUGUAGCAUCUUUUGGGAAUGAGUGUGCCUAUUCCACCAAAACCUCGAUGACCACAACGUUGCCCUUUUUCACCAUUCUUCCUUUUAAGAUCUUAGCAGGUUCCUUAGCCCAAGUUCCCUGUUCAUCGAUGACUGGUAAGUGAGCCUAAACAGGAGUUGUACCAACAUGCCUUUUCAGCUGUGAGACAUGGAAGGUGGGGUGCACACAAGAUCGAGCAUGUAAGCCACUUUUUCGACCUUAUCUUCCACUUUGAAAGGCCUAAAAAACUCGGGAGCUAGCUUCUGAUUCAGGAUUCUCCUCACUAAAUGUUGUCUAUAGGGUUGGAGUUUCAAGUAAACAAAGUACCCUGCCUCAAACUACCUCUCUGUUCGGUGCUUGUCAGCUUGUUGUUUCAUUCAAUCUUGGGAUCUCUUCAAAUGAAACUGUAACAACUUCCUAGGAGCCUCUGUUUGUAGUUCCCUAUCCACAAUAGCUACCAGGGAUGUUCUAGCCAAGUAUGGUAAAUGGAGGGGAGGGUUUUGCCCAUACAAAGCCUCGUAUAGUGUGACUUGGAUGGUUGAGUGGAAUGUGGUGUCGUACCACCACUCGGCCAAGAGGAGCCAUCUCUACCAGUCUUGUGGCCUCUCUCUUGUCAUGCACCUCAAGCAUCCUUCAAGGCACUUGUUCACAACCUCAGUUUGUCCAUCUGUCUCUAGGUGGUAGGUAGUGGACAAAUGUACCUUGGUGCCCACCCUUUUGAAAAGAUCUUGCCAGAAGUUACUAACAAAGACUUUAUCCCUAUUAGAAAUGAUAGAGUUUGGCAUCCCCUACAACUUAUACACAUUAUCCAUGAAGUUUUGAGCUACAACUACAACAGUAAAAGGGGUGUGCCAUUGCUACAAAAUGAGCAUACUUGGUGAGACGGUCAACUACUAAAAAAAAUAACAGUUUUACCUUUCAAGUUUGAGAGUCUUUUAAUGAAGUCCAUGGAGAUGAAAGGCCAAGCACGGUCUGGGAUUGGAAGUGGUUGCAAAAGGACAGGAGAUGCCACUGUUUCUGACUUACAUCUUUGGCAUGUAGAACACUUCUUCACCCACUUAUUGACAUCAGUGGUUAAGCCUUUCCAAUACAAAAGGCUUGUCAGCCUCUUUCUAUUAGCAUGUACCCUUGAAUGUCCUCCUAAGGUGCUUGCGUGGAAGAGCUGAAACAGUUCUUGUUUGAGACCAACAACAUUCCCUACCACAAUCUUCCCCUUUCUUCUAAGAAAUCUACCAUCCCAUGAGUACUUAGGGUGGUUGGAGCCUUGCUGCUGAACUUCUGAACAGAGUUUCUGAACCUUAGAAUCCACUAAGUAAGAUACUUGCACCUUGGAUAAUAGAUUAAAACUGAUGGUGCUUCCAGUGAGCUGUAGAUUUGCCCUUCCUUCAAGUCUUGCUUCCUUGAUAGAGCAUCUGCUGCUAGGUUGCCAGACUCUUUCUUAUAGACCACCUCAUAGUCAUAAUCGAGCAUUUUUUCUACCCACUUUUGCUAUAAAGGGGUGACUGUCAUUUGAUUAGCUGAAAACCUUAAGCUUUGAUGGUCAGUCCUGAUUUUAAAGUGCUUUCUCACUAGGUAUGAAUGCCAUUUCCUUACAGCCAAGAGCACAUCAAGCAUUUCUUUUUCAUAUAUGGAAAGGGCUUGAUGCCUUAUUCCCAACCCUUUGCUAAAGUAGGCUACUGGCUUCCCUUGUUGUUGAAGGACCGCCCUCACCCUAUAUCCUGAAGCAUUAGUGUCCACAUAGAAUUUCAGGCCAAAUUCAAGGAGAGUCAAGACAAGUGUUGAGCAUAGGGCCUAUUUCAAGUGUUCAAAAGCAGCAGUGGCUUGUUCAUACCAUCCCCAAACAUCUUUCUUAAGUAAGCCGAUGAGAGGUCUUGCAAUGACACCAUAAUUUCUGAUAAACCUCCUAUAGUACCAUGAAAGUCCAAGGAAGUCCCUUAACUCCUUGAUGGAAGUAGGAAUAGGCCAAGUUGCCACACUUUCUACCUUAGUUUUGUCCAUAGGAAUAAUCACCUUGGUGAUGAUAUACCCCAAAUACUUCACUUGCUUAGUCCCAAAUGAGUAUUUGCUCUUCUUAACAAAGAGCUGAUGUUGUCUUAACAGUGUAAAAACUUCCUUUAGGUGGCUUAAGUGAUGUAACCAAGUGGGAGAAUAUACAAGAAUAUCAUCAAUAAACAAAAGUACUAUCUUCCUUAGUAGUCGUUUGAAGAUGAUGUUCAUUAAUCCUUGAAAGGUAGAGGGGGCAUUAGUGAGCCUAAUGGGCAUCACCAAGAACUCAUAGUGGCCCUCAUGUAUUUUGAAAGCUGUCUUGGGAAUUUCAGCUUCAUGCAUUCUAAUCUGGUGAUAUCCCGAUUUCAAAUCUAGUUUAGAGAAAUCCUAGCUUGUCCAAGUUCAUCUAGCAGCUCUUCGAUGAUGGGAAUGGAGAAUCGAUCUUUGACUGUUAAUUGGUUAAUGUUUCUUUAAUCAACACAGAGCCUCUAUGAAUCAUCUUUUUUCUUGACUAUUACUGCUGGUGAAGCAAAAGGGCUGGAGCUGUCCUUUAUUAUCCUAACAUUAAGCAUCUCUUUAACCAAUUUUUCAAGCUCAAAUUUCUGGAUCAUAGGGUACUUAUAAGGCCGUACUUUGAAAACUGCCCCUUCAUCUUUAAGGGCUAUAUUAUGGUCUUGAAGCCUUGUAAGGGGUAGGCCAGAGAUAGUCUAAAAAAUAUCCUUGAACUUACUAAAGAGCAACUAUAGGUCCUCUGGCACUGACUACACUAAGUCUUGUUGACAGUGUCACUUGUUCCAUAUUGGUCAGAACUAAGGCACAAGGGUCCAAUUCACUUUCUACCAAGGAAAAACACUUUGCUGACUAUCCCUGACUUAACAUUUCAAUAUUACCAAGUAUAACGCCCUUGAUAAUACAAGGGGUUUCUUUUGAUGUGAAUUGCAUGGUCAUGGAGUUGAAGUUCGAAUUUAUAAAUCACAUGGAGAGCAAUCAUUGUAUCCUGGGAACCACAUCACAUCCCUUAAGAGGUAAAACCAUAAAGUCAGCAGUGAAGCUAACCCUUUGAACCUCCCAAGCUACCUCUUUACAAACACCAGUAGUAAAUAUAUGUCUUCCAUCAACUACAGUGACCCUCAUUUGCUGUUGCUGCCCUACAGGUAAAGACAACCUGGACACCAACUUGGAGUCUAGGAUAUUGUGUGUACUCCUCAAGUCCACCAAGAAAAUAACAAUAUCUACUUCAAUCUUUGCCUCGAAUCUCAUAGUGUGGGGACCUUGAGACCCUUUUAUUACAUGCAAGGACAACACAUGACCUUGUGCUUGCUCCCUUUCAGUAGGAAGAUCUUCUAGUUGAUCUGAGCAUUCUUGAAACUCCUUAACAUCCUCUUCACUAGGUGAAUCUAGCAACAACUGAUAGAGUUGGCUUUUAACACAUUUGUGGCCAGUGUGAUACUUAGCUCCACACCAGAACAAAGGCCCUUUUUGUUUCCUUUUUGCCAUUAGUGUAGGGCUUACCCCUUUGGAGGGUGCUUUAGAGGUUACAUUUCCUCCUGAGGGUGGGUGAACAAAAGUACUCGACUGGUUGGAGACAACAAUUUGUGAAGAGACCACAGUAUACUAAUCUGGAUUGAACCUCGUGACAAUGGUAGUUCCUACUAAAAUUCCUUUUCUUGGAAAAGUUUUAAGGAUACCUUCCACCUGUUGAACAAUAUGGAAUCCUUCUACCAAGGAUUGAGGUCUAAACAAAUAUAGGUAUUGUCUUAUGUCUUUUUUCAAGUUACAAAUGUAAAUGCUAAGAGCAUAUGAUCCAGACAAUUGAAAUUGGUUUAAUAGACUUACAAAUUUCAUGAUACUACUCCACUGAACCUUUCUAUUUCAAGGUCACCAAAGUGCUUCCUCAAAGCGUGGGCAUAACAGACCCAGUCCAACAAGGGAAGACCCCAAUGCUUUUGGGCGUAGAAGUGCUGCUAGUAUAGGGCAUGACCCUCAAGAUGAAGCAUCACUGUUCCCACAUUGUCACUAUUAGGUACCCCUUCUACAACAAAGUAUUGUUCUCGUUUCAACCACCAACUUCAAAAAUUCAUGCCAUCGAAAUGUGGGCAAUCCAACCUAUAAGUACGCUCUUGAAGGGCCUCGAUUUUUUGUAGGUUGGGACCUGACUACCCCACAGUCUGGGGGAACAUCGGAAUCGUCCUUGGCUGGAAACCUAGGGGGUGGUCCUCCAAGGACCCCCUUUUCUUUGGUUUGAGUAGUGGUUGUGGUGUUUGAAGCAGUUGUAUUCCCCGGGUACAUUUCAAACAACUAGUGUAUCCCCAUUUGAAACUCCUCUUUGAAUCAUUGAAAUUGAACCUCCAUUUUGGUGUCCCACUUAGAAUCCAAUUGAGAAAGUUCAUCGGUCAUCGCUAACCGCUAGCUUUGAUACCUUUGGGACGAUUGUUGAUAGUAGAGAGAGAAGAGACAAUAAAGAGAAAUUAGAGGAAGAAAUCCGGCUCAAUAGCAUACAUUUUUGCAUAACUGCCUAUGGUCCUUGUCACCGAAUAUAAAGGAAAGGAAAAUCCAAGGAAAUACAACUUUAAAAGUUGGUUAAAACAAACGAUAAAUUAAACAAUAAUUAAUGAAGCUAAAUGCCCCGCUUAACUAAACCCUUCUGCACAUCGUUUCAUUAAUCUUUUCCUCCAAAACACUUUGUUUUGUCAUGGUUUAAUUUCAGCUCGUGACAACUAAUUCUUCAUAAAGAGUUCCAUCCAUUCACUUCUGUUCUGGGCUACACGAUGAAAAAAAAAAUGGAAGUGGAAAAUUAGGAAAAAGAAAAAUAAAAUAAGAUCACCUAAAAGUCCUACCCUCAUUAAUUUGUUCUCAUCAAUCAACGAUAUUUUAGUCUUUGUAAUAGUAUAUGGGAUCAAAUCCAUUGAUGACUUUAUAUUUAAGCAUUAAUUAUUUUAAAAAUUUAUUUUAUAUUGGGUAAAUAGCUAGUGAAAUGUUUUAACUCUGCAACAAGCAUUGCAUGUUUUAUUUUUCUAAUUUUUGAAUUUUUAUCUUAAAGUUACACUAUAACGGGAACAUACAUUAUUUUUUUAAUUGGAAGAUGCAUUAUUAUUUUUUCUAAUUUUAUAUUAAUUUUUAUAAACUAAAAAAAAAAAUUUGAAUUUUAAGGUUGUACCUUUGAAAUCCAUUCAAGGUUGCUCCAUGCUUGGCCAAAUCGAAAUGUGCUUAAUGUGAGCAAUGUAAGGCUGAUCAACACCAUCCCUUUGGCAUCUUUCUGCUAAUUUGGGACAAUUCCCAAUUCGAAAAUCUUGUGAGCUGAGUCAUUCCCUCCGGCAUUGAUGUCAAGCUACUACAUAUUUCAAUGUGUAGAAGUUGAAGAGAAGUUAGGUUCUGCAACAACUCCUCUGGUAGAGAAUCUAGCUCUUCCAUGCCUUUAAGCCUUAGACUUUCCAAUUUUUAGAAAGGAGUAAAAAUUGAACAAGCAGAAGAAGGAGCUAAUUCUAAUGUUGCACUCUUCAUCUUCAUUGUGGGUUCGAUCAAUGGCUUCCACCGACUCUGUCCCAAACGUAAUUCUCUAACUGAAGGAAACAAUGGCAUAGAGAUUAGAUUAGGGCAACUUUUGAUAGUUAUAUUUGAAAGGCAAGGAAAGCAAGUUGGCUGCAUAUUUGAAGCUUCACCGACAUCAUCUGGCCUCCACCAUCCCUUUAGAUUUGGGCAGUCAUCUAUGUAUAGUUCUUCUAAGGAUGGGAAAAAUGUUGUUGAUAAAGAAGAAGAUGAUUCGUUUUGCAUUUCAGUCUCUGAAACAUUUUCCAACGUUUUCAAUCUUGAAAGCUGAACAAGUUUGAGGAAAGAGUGUAGUGACCCAAACUCGGCCGGGACGGUCUGACCUAAAUUUCAAUUGUCUCAUUAGCCAUCGAAGUGACUCUCCGUUUAAACCACCACAAAACACACCAAUCGACUAAUCACACCACACAAUUAAUCAUGGAAUAUUUAAUAAAAACAUAAUAUCAUGCUUCCGUUGUGUUACUCUGACAAACAAAACUAAUUCACAUUUUAAUAUUUAACAAACAAUUACCUAAAAAACUUUAGUUAAAUUUACAUACAUGAAGUAGGGUAUUUUUAAAAAGGCUAUAUUUUUAGGGACUUGGAAAAUCAUUUAGUUUAAAAAUGUAAAAUUAGAUUUAAAACGUAAUAUAUAGUAACAUGUUGGGAAAAACACCAUUUCACAAAGUUUAACAUUAGUACUAUAAGAUUUAACGUAUAAGUCUUAUUUUGGAAAUUUUAUUAAAGCAUCUCGCACAACCUCAGAAAAUUAUUAAUUAAUUGUUGAAAAAUAUAGACAUCACAUAUAUAAUAAUGGUAAUUACAUGUUAUUAUUUACUAUCAUGAUAGGUUAUCCCAAAUUAAAAGUGAUUUAAUUUGGUUAAAAUUUUAUUGGGAUUUAAUUAUUAAAUAAAGUAUGGGUCAAAUAUGUGUAGGUACUCUAGUAAUUGAGUUCUAAUCAAAUUCUAAUUAAUGACGGGCUAAUUAGGAAUUAGAACUAAUAUACCAAUGUUAUAAAUAUUAGGGUUAUGGUCCCCAAAUUACACACAAGAUAUCUUUUCUAAUAUCCCAUCCUUAGCAAAGAGAGAGAAAAUAUUCUCUGAAUUUUUUAUGUGCUAAUUUGGAAGAUCAAAUCCCCAAGAUCUGUAGAUUUCAAGAAAUUCAUAGAUUCAGGUACACUUCCGCAUCUAGUUUUGUUCUUGAUUUAUCCUUGAUGAUUUGACAUGAUAGAUUCUGGUUUAUUAAGUUUUAUUUCAGAUUUAUUUAACAAAUCUAACAAGUGGUAUCAGAGUUUUGUCAUGUUGAAUCAUUGAGAAUGAAUUGAUUCUUUAUUAUUUUUGGAUUGAUUUGUUUUUCUUUUUUAAUUUUAUGGAUUUGAUAUUUUAAUUAUAUAUUAUAUUAAAUCUUUGAGAUUCCUGAUAAAUUUUUGGGUUUUAAUUCUUUAAAUAAAGUUUUAGGGUUUUAUAAAUAUAAUGUAGUUUAAUAUUUGCAUAUGCUAUUCGAAAGAUGAAGGUUUAUGUAUUUAUUUAUUUAUUUAUUUAUUUAUUUAUAAUCAAUUGAUAAAAAUUGAUUUGUGAGAUUUCUUUCUAUUCUUUUCACACAAUUAUUUUAUAAAUUUUGGUUAAAGUCAUUAUUAAAUUAAAGUUAAAAACUUACAACUUUUUGCAAUAAAAGAAUUCCAAUUGGGUUGUAUAACUGGUUUUGAAAGUUAAUUCACUUGAUAAUCGAAUAAAUGAAUGUUGGUAAGAUGUUUUUUUUUCGCACUGUUUGUUUUAAAUUCUCUGUUUGCGGAUGAAUAUAUAUGGAAUUAUUGUCUUUAUUCAUGAUGAAUUAUAUUCACCAUUGAAUUCAAUUUUAUAUAUACGAAUGAUUACUUUUGAUUUCUGUUAUAAUUAUUUUAUAUAAGUUUUAGUCCUUAUGGAACUCGACUAAAAUUAAAAUAUUUAGAACUUUUUUUAAAUAUGGUGGCUAUGAAUUUUCAUAAGUAGUUGUGCAUAUAAAGACUUUUAUAUAAUUUGGGAUUCUUUUUAUAUUUAGUGGUUAUGAAUUUUUUUUAAGUAUUUAUGCGUAUAAAGAAGUUUUAUGAUAAUGUCUUUAGUCAUGUAAGGCAAGCCAAUAUUAUUUUUAUAUUAUUAUAAUUGUGUGUAUAUAUAUUGUAUGUAUAUAUAUUAUAUGCAUAUCAAUGAUUUUGAGGAUUAAUGCAUGAUUAUAGUUUGUGUGAAUAGGUGUUUAUAACCAUUAUUCAAUAAGAUAUCUUUUAUAGUUUAAUUGGUGAAAUUAAGUUUUGAUGGAUAUCGUUGAAGUUGUUAAUUUUUUUUUGUUAUGGUUAUAUAUUUAAUUUUAUGGGUGCUUUGGUGCAAAUUCAUGUCAACUAUAUACAUAUUUAAAUAUUUUGGUUUUAAGUUUGGUUCUAUAAUAUUAGGUUUUGACAUCUUAUGGUUUCAAAUAUUUGGUUAAAUUAUGAUGAUAUGGUUUAUUGUAUGAAUUGUGGGAUAUGCCAACUAUUAUGAUUUUGUUUUUUUGAGAUUUAUUGCCUUGAAAAUAUUUUUCAAGUAUUCAUGUGAAUAUCUGUUUAAUCAUAAUUAAAACUUUGGAUUUACAUGGUAAAUUCAGGGAAAGUUUUUCGAUUUGAUUAUGAAUACAUGUAUAUGCGUGAAUCAUUUUGAUGUUUUUAUCUAUGCCAAAAUUAUGAAUACAUGUGCUUGUUAAUUAUUUGGCUUUAAACCACUACAUUAUUUCUGUUUGGUUUUGAUAAUAUGGUUUUGGAACAAAAAAGAAAUAGUCAAAAAUUAAGGUUUUCGGUUUUUAUUGCAUUAUUACGACAACCUUAUUUUGGGUUAUUUCAGAGUCUAUAAAGUAAUAAAAAAAUAGUUUUGACAUUUGACUAUUGGGGAAAUUUUAAAUUUGAAUACUGGUAUAUUUAUAUAUAUAUAUUUUAAAAUAACUUAAUUGAAGCAAAAAGUCUCCAAAGUGAUUUUUUUGUAUAUUUUUUUUGUUUUAAAAUAUAAAAGGUUGUGUGCAUGUAACUUAAGUUAUGUUAAUAUUGGUUGGCCCAAAUGAAAGUUAAUAAUAUUACAUGUGCAACUAUGGUAAUAAACAUGUGACAAUUAUUUAGUUUUACAUGUGAGCAAUAAAUUAGCCCAAAGGAAGAUUUAUGGUUCGACACAUCCUUAUUGUCAAUGUUUGAUUAUUACACUAAUAUAUCACUUGCAAGUUAAUAUUUUGUCCAAAGAUGAAGUAUUAAUGGAGUGUCCGAUAUCUUGAUAUGAGAUUUACCUUUAUUCAAAUUAUUUUAGUUUAAAUUUGAAGUCUUAUAUGAAGUUGUUUAUGGUUUAUGAUUUACUCAACUAUUGUUAUAUUUGCCAACAUCAUUGUAUGUUGUUUUGGGAUAAAUAUAUACAUAUAUAUACUAUUAGAUUUUAAUUUGAUUGAAAGAUGAAAUUAAAAGAAAUAUUUUGAAACAAAUAAUUCAGAUUUUGACUUUAGGUUUUAAUUAAGAAUGUCUAAUAUAUUAAAUAGAUUAGUUGAAACAAAAUGCCGCCAAAGUGACCUCUUUUGUGUAGAUUAGUUUAUUUGAAAUAUCAAGAUGAUUAUAUGUUUUUUUUUAUUCAUGCGUUUAUUAAUUGACCCAAAGGUCAGUUAAUAUUUGGCAGAAUUUCAAUGACAUCUGUGGUGAUAAAUGUGUGACAAUUAUAAGGUAUUUUAUGUGAGCAAUAAGUUAGUCCAAAGAUUAAUUAAUUAUUUGACAUAAUUUAUUAUCAAUGUUUGAUUGCUACAAUAAGAGUAUCGCUUACUGUUAAUAUUACUGUCCAAAUACUUGAUAUUAAUGUUGUGUUUGGUAUAUUGAGAUGGGAUUAGCCAUUAUCUUGAAUUUAUUGUUUACUUAUGAAUAUUGACAUGACCUUAUUUUUAUUUAUUUUUUGUUCUAUAUUUAGCUAAUUCAUCUUCUACUGCCACAAUAUCUGUUAAUAUAAAUUCUAUACCCAUGCUUAAUGGGAAUAGUUUCAAUGGAUGGAAAAGACACUUAUAAUGUUUGACUGUAUGAACAUAGACCUUGCACUAAGGGAAGAGCAACUCGCAUUUCUCGCAGUGGAAAGCACCCCCUAUGUUAAAAGGGAUUUUGAGAGGUGAGAUCAUUCAAAUUGCAAGAGUCUAAUGAUCAUGAAGCAUAACAUUUCAGAAGCCUUUAGGGGCACAGAAUAUGAAAAGAUUACUCAGGCCAAAGUUUCCUUCACGAAAUUGAGAAACGUUUUGCUAAAAAUGAUAAGGUUGAAAUGACAUAACUUCUGACUUCUUUGAUGUCUAUAAAGUUAACGGUUAAGGAAAUUCUGAGCAAUCUAAGUGCUAUGAGUUUUAUGAUCCCACAAUUAGGAAUACUUUUGAGACGAGAAUUACAACAUUCUUUUAGGAUGUUGAGUUUGGAGGGAGAAAUAAGGUUAGAGACAUUGCUUUUAAUAAGGAAUUGAAUUCUAACUCAUUUCCUACUAUCACUUUUGAUGAUGUUUAGGUCCUCAUACCUAUCAUUGAUUAAGAAGUGAAUCUAGAACCUCAAUAAGACAAUGUUGAACAACUCCUUAUUCAAGAUGAGGUAAUUGUUCCAAAAGAACAAACUCAACAGCCUCAAGAAUGAAUUCCAUUAAAAAUGUCCACUAGAGAAAGGGUUAUAAUGGCUUUAUUAGAAUAUUUUGACCUUAAGCUGCAUCAGAUGAAUAUUAAGUUAAUAGUUUCUCAAUUGUAACAUUGAUCAUACAUUUAUAUGGUGCAACUAGUAAAUUUUGUGUCUAAUGAUGCAAAGUUAAUGAUUUGCAAAUUAAAGAAAUUCAUCUAUGGGUUUAAGCAUACUUCUCGUCAAUAGUAUUACAAUUUUACCAAAUGAUUAUCUCAUUCGGUUUAGAGAUGAAUUUUGUCGAUAAUUGUAUAUACCAUAAGUUUAGUAGGAGUAAGGUUCUAUAUUUGGUUUUAUAUGUUAAUAGCAUACUGCUUGUUAAUAAUAAGUAUAGUCUCAAUUAAUGUCCUAAGAAUGAUUUUGAGAUUACAAAAAUGCAUAAGAUUUUUUUUACAUUUUAGCAGUGGGAAGUCUAAUGUAUGUUCAUGUUUGUAUACAUUGGAAUACUGUGUACACUAUUGGGAUGUUAGGCAGAUAUUUCAAACAACCCUGAUUUGGACCAUUGGAUAGCAUCCAAGAGGGUUAUAAGGUAUUUUUAGAGAAUAAAAGAUUACAUGCUCACAUAUCGGAGGUCUAAUCAGUUAGAGAUCAUCAGGUAUACAGACUCCGAUUUUGAUGGAAUAUGGAUACAAGAUUUUGUCACUAAUGUGCAAAUUGUGAAAACAAAUUGCAGUAUUUUAUUCCAAUAGCAAUAGGAGCACAUCAAAGUCAAAACACAUAGACUUUAAGUUUUUGGUUGUUAAAGUAAAAGUUCAAAGUUGUUAGGUGUCUAUAAAGCAUAUUAGGAAAAACUCCAUGAUUGCGGAUCCUCUUACUAAGGGACUACACCUAAGGUUUUUCAUGAGCACAUUGCUCAUAUGGGUGUAAUAUCAUUUAAGGAUAUUUAAUUUUAGUGGGAGUUUGUACUUUUAUGUUAUAGACACAUUUUCAGUUAUUUCAGUUUACAGAUAUUAAUUUUAUUUUCUACAGAAAUAAAGUUUUUUUUUUGUUUAUUCACACUUUGGUUUUGGUAAGAUUUGAUCUCACUAAAGUUUAAGGAGGACUAGUUGGAAAUUAACAUGUUUAGAUCAUAUUGCAUGUAAUUUCCAUGCUACACAUCUAUACUUGAUCUAUGUCAUUUGGUUGUGUUAAUAUAUGUCAUCAAGGAUGGAUUUAGUUACGAUAUAUGUAAUGAAAGUCGCAUUGGUUCUAUGUUAACAUAAUUAAUGGACGAGAUUGUUCGAAAUGCCUUUUGGAUAUGAUAGUAAAAUAUUGAGCUCAUAAGGUUAUAUUAUGACAUGUAAUUAUAGAGUAAUUAGUAUAUAUAUGUGGUCCAGGUGGGAGAUUGUUGGAAAAUAUGGACAUCACAUAUGUAAUAAAGGUAAUUACAUGUUAUUAUUCACUAUCAUGAUAGGUUAGCCCAAAUUAAAAGUGACUUAAUUUGGUUACAAUUUUAUUGGGCUUUAAUUAUUAAAUAAAGUAUGGGUUAAAUAUGUGUAGAUACUUUAGUAAUUGAGUUCUAAUCAAAUUCUAAUUAAUGAUGGGAUAAUUAGGAAUUAGAACUAAUAUGCCAAUAUUAUAAAUAUUAGGGUUAUGGUCCCCAAAUUACACAUAAGAUAUCUUUUCUAAUAUCCCAUCCUUACCAAAGAGAGAGAAAAUAUUCUCUGAAUUUCUUUUGUGAUAGAUUUGGAAGAUCAAAUCCCCAAGAUCAAUAGAUUUCAAGGAAUUCAAGGAUUCAGGUAUACUUCCGUAUCUAGUUUUGUUCUUGAUUUAUUCUUGAUGAUUUGACAUGAUAGAUUCUGGUUUAUUAAGUUUUAUUUCAGAUUUAUUUUACAAAUCUAACAUUAAUUAGUUAGCAAGCAUUUAUCAGUUUACAUGACUUGACCAAAUUCUGUGUUACAUCUCAUACAUACAAAGCACAUGUUUGUUUCCAAAUCACACAUAAAACAUCUAAGGCUUACCUCGAUGUCCAAUGACUCUUCAACCUGCACUUACAAGUUAGUCGAACAAUUAUUCCAACCAAUUGUUUAAACAAUCAUAAUCCAUCAAUCAAUCAUCUAUCUAACGCAAUGAUAAAAGUUUUAAACCAAACAAUUAAAUAGUCUAUAGUGUCCAAUUACAACCCAAAAAUUAUAAGUCUAAUACUAAAUCCCAUAACUUGGUCCCACAUUGCCUUCUUCAUUGGGUUUGGGAACACAAUGUCAUACCUAGAUAUAUCCUCGAUUUGGAUCACUUGGAUGACUCACUCCCACACCUCUUCAAAAGCUAAGUCACUACAAUAAGUUUAAUAAUCAUUCAUACGGCUUAAUUGAUAACAUAAAACACAAAAAUUGAGUUCGAACAACUAACAUCUGUUGGAACGCCGGCAACCCUACGGCGCAGCGAAAAAUUAAAACAUUCGGUGAUCCUAACCAUGGAUCCAUGUGUGAGGAACGAAUCGGGGUGAAAUAAAGGUUUCGAAAUUACCGAAUCUUUAUUCUGAGUAGACAGCAACGCCUCAGCAACGAGCAAUCUGAUCUGCUAUCGAACCAAGCUGAAAUCUAUCGUGACUCCGGCCUUUACGUAAUCCACCCAGUUGACAAUGAACGGAAGGAAUCCCCAAAACUAUUUUGGAAAAAAAACUUUGCUUUGGCGGCUGCUAGAUCCCAAGCAAAGAAAAACGAGAUUUUUAUAUCUAUUUUUAGGGUUUCAAGAAAUUAAAUAAAUAUAACUAUGUUUUAAACCAAAAAUUAUAAUUACAUUAAUUAUAAUAAUGAUUUCGGUAAACUAUAUAUUUAUUUGAAUUUAUAUACUAACCAAAUUCAUGUUCUCAUUAUGCGUACAACAACCUUGUAUAUAAUGUGUUCGAUAUUUGAUUAUCCAAUUAAAUUAAUUCUAUAAUUAAUUUAAUUCAAGCGACAACCAAACACAAUACCAACUAUGUUUUAUUUCGUUCAUUUCAACUAUAGGGUGUGACCCUGUAGGUUCUUGUAACGUUAGCAGUAAUACUAGAACGAUUCCAAUGUUACAAACAAUGAGUGACACCUAGCAAUGCAUCAUUGCUACCUAAGUCACAAGAAAUCAUGAUUCGACAUAACCUUUUUAUGAAUAACCUUUCAUGCAAUAAUCCUUAAGUCCUUUAUCUCUGGAUUGGACACAAGUCAUGGAAUAGUCAGACUUGCAUAGUCCAUUCCAUGUUCCUUGAUAUCUUAAGUAGACUAUGAUAUACAAAUAAGUAUGACAUCUCAUAUCAACUUAUUUGAGCAUGGCCAUGCAUUUCUAGUCUCACUCAAUCAAGUGGCCUAAGAUAUUACUCCCAUUAUGUAGGAGGGACUUAUCCUAUAUCGAUCAACUAUAUCCCUCUACAUAGAUCGUGGUAUAUCCAACAUCAGCCUUUAUAGAACAACCAGUUACGGUGUACGUUUAACUGUAUCAAAAUAUACAACUCACGAUGUUGGGAUUAUGAUGAUCUCAAGUCUGAAGAUCAUAUACAUAUUAAUCACUAUGAGUAAUGUUGUGACAAUUACAUAAUAAUCCAAGAAACAUACUCAUAAUGGGUCAGCCCAAUAUGUUGUUCUCUAGCACACAUAUUCAUGCAUCGAUUUUGACAUUCCAUAUCAAUGACAACUCUUUAUCAUCAAUCAACUACAUGUUAGUCUUAAUGCAUUAUUGUUGUCCUAUCCAACAAUAAUACUUGACUAAGGACCUUUUAAGAAUAAUCAUAUUACUCUCAGGACAUUAUUAUAAAAUAGUUUAUUUAUACACACAGAAAAGAAACUGAAAUAAUAAUGGUAACGCCUUAUAUUAAUAAACAUGAUAAAUCAAGUAUGUUAUUACAACCAUCUCAUGAUUGAUCUUUGGGCAUACUCUAACAACAUCAUCCUAACAUCAAUGACUAAGUAUUCUAACAUUUUAAUAACAUGAAGUUCACAUAAGCAAGCUCAAAUGUCAAAAAAAUCAACAACUCAAAUAGAUUCUACCAUAUUGGACCACCCCCUUGGACCACUCCAUUGGACCCCUCCCUUGAACCACUCUCUUGGAAACCACACUACCUACGCCAUGAUGUCACUAAUCUGCAAAUGUUGAAAUGAAGGAAUGAGCUUUUGCAAGCUCAGUGAAUGUAAGAAUGACCACAACAUAAACACACCAUCAUGUAACACAACCAAACAUUUAUUCACAAGUAGUACAUUCUUAGGUCUAGCAUCACAUAGUACUAAAUCAUGCAUUGCUUAAAAGUCAUUCUCAUAGUACAUAUACUAUAUCAUUCAAGCAUAGAACAAACUCCGCACAAUUAUAUAACAUAAGAUAAUAUGUCACUUGGAUUAUGAAACAUAUAGUCAGCUCUAUCACCACACAUCGGAUACAUGGAUCUCCUUACACCACAUAGACUCAUAGAGUCAAACAUGUCCCAAAAGUGAAGCAUGUAGCUAACACUCCCCUUAUUUCCCCUUACAUGUCCUGUUGAAUGGAGCUUUAGCUCACAUUAUCCCUCCAAACAUGUCCCAGGGCCUCAAUGCCGAAAACCUUUACACAUAUAAGUGAGCACUCACAAUCCUAUGGCAUGCCAACUAUAUCCAAUGGUUCCAAGAUCACAAUGCCAAAAUACCCGAGAAACAAUACAUAUUGCUUACUGAUUAUCCGUGCACUAUCACUGCAUUUUAUCAUCUUUUGCAAAACACUAGCAUAUUCGUAUAACAUAUAUAUUGUACAUUUAUUACAUGUAUAUAAUUACACUUUACACAAUAAGCACCAUAUCCACAUAUCACAUAUCAUGCAUAUUAUAGAACCACAUAAUCACAAGAUAAGUAUAGUUCAAGAAAACUUACACUCAAAAUUUAGAGUAGGGGUUUAGGUUAUGUCUAAAUCCUCAAUUAUCACACGACUCGUGUUUACCAGUAGCAAUUCCAUACACUUACCACUUUAUGCUUUUGUCGAAAAUUGAAAGCUCAACUAACGUUCUCUAGCUCGUAGCAAUCUCUAACAAAUACAAAGCUUAACACAUAUAAUCAGACAAUAACCAUAGUCAAAUAUCAACCAACUAUUCACUCAAACUAACUAAAAUAAAAGCUUUAAGCUAAGUCCCCAUAUAACUUAAACUAUUAUCAUAACAAACUUUAUAAACUAAUAUCUCGAUCCAUACUAAGCCUUUUUGCUUAAAAUCAAUUUUGUUCAUCUAAUUAUUCGUCUAUGCCUAAUUUGUAACCUUCAAACUAGACAAAUCUACUCAAUUCAUGGUAUUGACAUUUUUUGACAUCUUUUAGGUAAUUUUCGUAAAAUUCAUUAAAACAUGAGAAAUCAUUAAUGAAACUUUAGGAUAAGUUUGAAAACCUUCUAAUCAUGCUAAAAAGAGUUGAAAAAUACUUUAAAACUAAGUUUUUAUGCAAAAUCCUGAAAUCCACCAUUAAUGGCUCGAUUUUUGGGUUUUAUUAAAAUAUGCGAUUCGAGGGCUAAUAAUUCAGUUAUAGAGUCUAAGUAAUAUUAAAAAUCAAUGGUGACAUGAAUGAUUACCUUUGACAAAACAAUGAAUGAGUUUUGACAAAAAUCUGAAAACCCCACUUUUGAAGAAGAUGAUGAAAUCUAUCGAGUUUUUGGGUGCUUUUCUUGAAGGUUUAUGUUAGCAAAUGACUUAGGAAUGAUAGAAAAUCAAUGUAUUGUGAUUUGGAACUCAAAAAUAAAUGGAGAAAGCAAGGGAAAUAGCAAGGGGCGCACAAACUUGAAGCAAAAAAAAAAACAAACAUGAAAAACAUGUUGAAGGGGAUAAAAUAGCUUCAAUUUUACAAAAUGGUAAAACUGCAACAUAAAUGCCUAUUAUUUUGACAUUGUUACAAAUCAGUCAUUUUCCAAAAUUAAGGGUUUCUAGAGCACUUUUUCAAAAAUUGAUUUGACAGUGAAAAUGCCUUAGUCAAAAAUUGAUUUGACAGUGAAAAUGCCUUAGCCAAAAUUCCCAAAAAUGCCCCUAAAACUCCUAGACCCUAUUUUGGGGUGUUACAUUUAAUCUCUCCACCCCAAUUUCACCAGAAUUUUCAGCUCAUGAAAUACAAUAAAGAAACCUAUAUCACCAACUUCAUUCUCAAUUGUUCCAUUUUGUUAAACAAAAUCCAUAACUUUACAGUCAAAUGUAAUGAUUAGUGUAUAAAGAAACAAUGAUAUCCCUUUUCUUAAUAAAUUCAUGAAUUUCUCUAUAUAAAUAAAUUCAUUGAAGUUGGGAUCAAUUGCAAAACAUUCACUACAUUUUUUCCCUUUUUUUUAUCAAACAACAAUUAAAGUCUUUAAUAUCUCAACAUAUAGUUUUUGUACUCAUCAAUCUCACAAAAAGCAUACACAUUGGUCAUUACCAUUAUUCUUGAUUAGGGCUUUUAAGCUAUAAUAUCUCAUCUAAUAGUUUUUUGCUUACCAAUUUCUCACAAUGCUUUAAACAUAGGCCAUCAAAAUUUUAGAAAUUUCCUACACUCACAGUCUUUUAAUAACAAAUGAUCAUGCUUAAUAAUAUUCAAAUUCCAAAGCUCUACCAUAUGUUAUUGAAAAAAAUAAACAAACACUCUCGACCAAAGUGCAUCUUCAGUCUCUUCAACAGUUUUCCCUUUUUUUAAAAUUAUGGACCACUAUGAUCUUCAAUUUUCUUUUGAGUUUAACCAUCACCAUUUAUUUUGUUAAUUCCAAAGCUUAUUUUAUCUAUCUUCAUUCUCCAAAACUUUGAUCAUAACCACAUUAUUUACAUUGGCUCAAGGAAUAUGUGCCCACGUUAAUUGAAGAAACCCAUGAAUUAUUAUAGUCUAAUGUUAGUUUACUAAGCUUCCAUAAUCUCCAUUGGUCAUUUUAUGUUUCUCUAACUUAAUUUUACUAUUUACAUCCUCAAUGUUCAAAGAGAGAAUCUCAUGGUUUUACAAUCCAACAUCAAAAGAUUAGCUUUGGAAAAAAAUGUAUAUACCUUACACCUUAAACCAUGGUUUUGAGAAUAAGUUUAUUAAUGAUGAACUCGUUAUCACAAUUUAUUGAUAAACAUAUGAGUUUGCCUAUCCUCUAUCCUCUAUAUUUUUACAAAAAUCUCUUAUGGUUUGAAUAUCAGAACUAAGUAAGAGACUCAUCUACAUAUUUCACACUUUUGUUAAUUGGUGAUUACACCUCUCUCCUUCAUUUGCUCUUUUGUUUUUCUCAAGUUUCUGAUAGUCACUUUCGACCAAAGCGCGUCCUCGAUCUCUUCAAGAUUUUUCACUUUCUUUGUUUUUUCACUUAUAGACCCUUAUGCUUUUUCAAUUCUUUUUUUAGUUUCACCACUACUAUCUAUUCCAUUAAUUCUAAUGCUAUUAUAUUUAUUUUCAGUCUCCCAAAAUUUUGGUCAUAACCACAUUAGUUACAUCGUCUCAAGGAAUUUUGCCCAUAUUAAUUGAAGAAGCCUAUGAAUUAUUAUAGUCCAAUGUUGGUGUGCUAAGCUUCAUUCAUCUCCAUUGAUCAUUUCACUUAUUAUUGUUUCUUGAUAACUGCUUCCACAUAGAUACUCAACAUCUAACUUUUACUAAUGCAUGCCUCAUCAUGCUUGAUAUUAUGCUCCUUUUUUUCAUUGUUAUGUUCAACAUAAAAUUUCUCAAAGCUAGAUUAUUAAAUAUGUCACAUCUUAUUUUUAAUUAUUUCCACUACUUACACAAACAUGUUCAUUUCUUUCCCAAUUUUUUUUCUUUGAUCAACAAAGUCACUUGAUUCAACAUUGGAUGGCAUUGGAGAUAUGGAUUGUUAGAAUAAUUUUCUAGACAAAAAUACUUAAUUGAUGCCAAUAAUUUUCUAUAUUUGAAAAUCGAGAACUAAAUGCAAUCACAAUUGAGUAUUGAAACCUCCUCAAUGUCACUUAAUCAAUUAAUUAAAAUCUUCAUAUUCAUUUUAUUGUAAUCAUAACUUUCUAUGAGUGAUUCUUCCACUAAUAGAAUCCCUUCUCAUAGAUCAACAAUGUUUCAUAUAAUCGAAAUGUGUUGAUGGUUCCACCUCUUCAAAUCGCUUGAUAUCCAAUCUAAUCCCCUCUUAAGAAACAUUUCUUUAAUCUCUUUCCACUUGAAACUCAAGAAAAGAUUGCUUUUAUGAAAAAAAUAAGAUUUUGGUAUUUAAUUUCUUCUCUACAAAAUUAUCUCUCAAGUUAUUAUUUUGGUAUUUAAUUUUUUUUAAGCACAACAAAAGAAAAAAAUAUUUUGUUCUUCUUUUUGUUUUCUUUGUGUAGUUUGGUUUGGUUGGUUCUAUAUUAUUUCAAUUGCUUGAAUAUUUAUAGUGCAAAUGUCACACCCCAAAAUAUAUGGGGUUAGUUAUAAUAAUUAAGAAAUAAACUUUAGGCUUAUUGGUUAAGUAGCUUGUAUAUUCCUUAGAAAUCCUAGGUUCUAUCCCUAGCUCUUUCAUUUAUUUGAUUUUUAUUUUCAACAAACUAGGAUGAAAAAUCACUUUAAAACAAAUACUAUUUGGAGUAAAAUUUUAUUAAGAGUGGGUAGUAGUCUAAUGCUUAGAAUCUACUCCUUUCCCUUGCUUACAUGUGUUCAAGCCAUGCCAUCCUCCUUCAUUUCAUUUUAAAUUUUGGCUAAAAUUGGGUAAUUUAUCAUGCAACCCCUCAAAGUUUGAAAACCCUAGCUAUCCAGUCCAUUUUCCCCUAAUUACACUAGGAUUAUGAUUCUUUUUCCAUUCAAAUUAGAAUUUUUCAUCCUCUUCUUUGCAUCAAAUUUUCUCUCCAUUAUUGAAAUUGUUCUUGCUUUCGAUAUAAAAUCAAUCUCUAGUAAAUUGAUUCUCUACUAAUUGUUGAUUAUCCUUUGCAAUUCCAUCAAGUAUGGUAAGUGCAUCUCAAUCUAAAGUUUAGGACCCCAAAUUUCAUAAAAUUUCUAUCCGAUAUUGAUCUUUCAAAUCAAAUAGUCAAUCUUUCACGGUUCUUGAUGAAUCUUUAAAGGACUUAAUUUAGGUACCCUGGACCAUAUUUGAGCACGAAGAACGUCGUUCGAGAUCCCGAUAAUAGCGUGUGUUCUUUUAUAAGCGAAUCAGGUAAAAUAUGCCUUGGAAUAGGGCCACAUGGCCAGCUACAUGGGCAUGUAGACCACACUGCCCACCACACGAUCAUGUGCCUUUGAAACCCUAAUACAGUUCGUGAACCACAUGACCUGGACCCUUCCACAUGAAUUGUUGAAUCUUAUUAAAGCUUAGAAAACAAACAUUAACUCUUGUAUAAUUUUCAUUUGAAAGACUCGAUUUAGGUGUCCCGGACUAGAUUUGAGCGUGAAGAACGUUGUUCGAAAUCUCAGUGACAAGUGUGUGUUCUUUUACAAGAGAAUUGGGAUAAACUAUACCUCGGAAUAGGGCCACAUGGCCAACCACAUGGGUAUGUAGGCCACACAACCCACCACACGACCAUAUGCCCUGGAAACCCUAGUGUGGUUCGUGAACCCCACGGCCUAGACCUGUAAUAGCCCGUUUUCAAUAAAUCAGAACAGUGGUUUUUGGACCACAAAUAUGAAGUUAUAAAAUUUAUUUUAUUACUAUUUUAUGGCCUACAGCAUGAUAGUAUUACCACAUAAAAAUUUCGUUAAGAAAUUUUACCGUUUACAUGCUCAAUUUGAUAAAAGGACUAAAUCGCAUAAAUUGCAAAAGUUAUGUUCUAAUAGCUAAAGGUGUUUAAUAGCUAUAUAAAUUUAAAGUGGAGGUCCUUAUAUGAUAAUUGGACCAUUUAUGAGUUAGUGGAAGAUGUUGGCUUGGUAAUUUUGAAAUCUAGUUUGAUUAUUAAAGUUAAUUUUGGAAAUUAGUAAUUAAAGAUAAAAUAAAUAAUACAAAAUCCAGUCUUUAUCUUUUAUGUUCUUUCUUCAAUCGAAAUUAGGGAUUUAGAAAGCCAUUUUUGAGCUUGAUAUUCGACCAAGCUUACAAACUUAAUUGGUAAGUGAUUUUUAUCCUGUUUUUAAUGAUUUAUACGUUUUCGAGAUCGUUGUAGCUUAAUCUAGCUAGCUCAGGGACUAAUUUAUUAAAUUGUUAAAGUAUUAAGGUUUUUCCAUUGAUGAGCAUGCUUGAGUUUUGAUUUUUGAUGAUAGAAAUUGAAUGGUUGUUGAUAGAUAAACAACUUUUGUUAAGGGAUUUUUAGUGAAAUUGCCAAAUAAGGAUUAAAUUGAAAAAUGUAAUAAAUUCAUGGUUAAAUUUGUAAAUUUCUUAAAUAUGUGGGAUGCUAUAAGCAUGUAUAUAGUUUGACUAGGCUAGGGUAGGGAUAAAAUUGAAUGAAUUUUAUUUUUCAAGCCUAGGGACUAAAUUGUAAAGAAUUAAAAGUAUAGGGGAAAUAGUAAUUUUUCCAAAAAUGUUUGUUGGACUAAAUUGAAUAUGAAUUAUGUUAAAUUGAGUUAAAUUCAUUCGUAUAGAUCCGGUUAGACCUCGUACAGAGUUAGAUCGGGGAAAAGGAAAAAUAUCGGAUUAGUCGCCUUCGUAUCUACAUACACUCGUUGAGGUAAGUUUGUGUAAUUAAAUUGUGUAAGUAUGUACGUAAACUCGUAUCUACGUAAACUCGUUGAGUAAUUUUUCCAAAAAUGUGUGUUGGACUAAAUUGAAUAUUAAUUAUGUUGAAUUGAGUUAAAUUCAUUCGUAUAGAUCCGGUUAGACCUCAUACGGAGUUAGAUCGGGGAAAAGGAAAAAUAUCAGAUUAGUCGCCUUCGUACCUACGUACACUCGUUGAGGUAAGUUUGUGUAAUUAAAUUGUGUAAGCAUAUGAUUUGUUUGAGUUAAAUGUAUCAUAUUUGCAUUACCAUCAUAUAUGAAUACCGAUAGCAUAUCCGACGACGUACAACGAUUACCGAGCCUCAUUUGAACCUUAGGAAUUCGUAGGAUACAAAUGACAUGUCAAUAGGGUUACCGUUUUUAGCUUUUAUGAGCUUACCAUUAUUCAGCUCAAAGGAGCUUACCGUUUAUGGCUCAUAUGAACAUACAUGUACAUGAAUUGACGGAUUACAGUUCAGUACGCCUCGUGUGUACUACCCGCGUAUCUAACGAUAUUCUAAAUGGUUCAAUGGGCAUUGUUCUAUUAUGAGAAUACAUGUGUUCAAUACGAACUACAUAGGUAUUUACAUGAAGUAUAUGAAAAUGAUUUGUACAUGAUAUAUAGAUACAUAAUUUGGAAAUUAUAUGUACAUGGAAGUUUGAUUGUUGUUGAGCUCAUACAUGUUUCUAGAUAUUUAUAUGAAUUACAUGACUAACAUAUAAGGAUAUGUGUCUAUGUUAUUUUUCGUGUUUUUUUUAUUGAUUCGGAAGCUCGUUCGAGUUGGAAGCUUGUUAGAGUUAUAUCACACUAUCCAUCGACUCUUUCGGUAUUUUUGGUUAUUUAAUUUUGAUUAUAAUGGCAUGUAUAGGUUAAUUUGGCCAAUGUUGGCAUAUAAGUGUUUUGUUGAGAUUAGCCACUUGUUUGGCUUGUGUUUGGUAUAUUUUGAUGUAUAUGUAUAUGUGGCAUUAUCAUAUUUAAUGUGUGUUUGAUAUGGUUGAAUGUUGAAAAGUAAAAUGUGGUUUGAAUAUGCAUAUAAGAUAUGUUAUAUAUCUUGGUGUGAUUUAGUGCUUUGUUAUGAAAAACUUAUAGGUAUAUUGAUAAUUGGUUUAGAAUGGUAUAUUUGGUACCGAAUGGGUGAGCUUGAUAAGUGAUCUACAUGAUAGGUUUUGGUACUUUUAUGCAUAUAUGUAUUUGGUCAUUUAGGUAAGUUUGGAUACAUGGUUGACAUGUUUUUAAAUUGUCAUUUGAGGUGCCUAAGGGCAUAUUGGUUGUAUGUGAUCAUGUUUACAACUUGCUUAAGUUUGUUUUGGGAUACUUGAUUAUAGCUAGCAUAUAUAUGCAUUUUUGGGAGUAGGUUGAUGUCAUUUUUGAGUGAGAAAUGUGGCUUGGAAAAUGGCCUAUUUUCGUCCACAUGGGCAAGUGUCUCAGCCGUGUGUGACACACGGCCAGGUGACACGGCCGUGUGUCCCUUUUAUCUUUUAAAGAGUGUAAAUCAGUAUGCUUACACGGCCUAGCACACGGGCGUGUGGCUUGGCCGUGUGGCAUAAAUCAGUGAGUUAAGCAGACACAGAUUGGGACACAACUGUGUGUCCUUAUUUCGAAUGCCCAUAUGGCCGAAAACACAAGCGUGUCUCUUGGCUGUGUGAAUCACACGACCUGGCCACACCGCCAUGUGACCUCUGCAGCUUUGAAAAUUGUAAAUGUUUCUGAAAUAUUUUUUGAGUUUCUAAUUUAGUCUCGAUUUGUUUCUAAGGUGUAUUUUGGGCCUCAAGGGCUUGUAUUAUGAACAAUAUGCAUGAUUAUGAUUGGUUUCUGACAUGAAUGCUAUAUGUUAUGAAAUGUUUAGAAUUUUUGUCUGUCUGAUUUGUAUAUCUGGUAAUGCUCCGUAACCCUGUUCUGGCAAUAGAUACGAGUUAGGGGUGUUAUAGGACCAUUCCACACAGCUUGUCACACGGUCGUGUCUCCCCUAUAGGUUGAUUUUGCAAAUUUCACACAACCAGAGUCUGUCACAUGGUCAGGCCACACGACCAUGUGCCCCAUGUUUUACAAUUUUUCCUAGAAAUUUGUAUUAUGUUCACUUUGGUCUAUGCUUGAUCUCUGAAUUGUUCCUAGAAGUUUUUGUGCAAUUAAUUAAUCUUUGCGUUAGUGUUUAUAUAGAAAUCCAUGAUUUAUAUGCCUAAAUUGCUACUGCUAUAAUAUGUUUAUUGAUAUUGAUUAACAUAAUCAUUACGGUGCUAUGAAUAAUUAUAUGAUAUUAAUAAUGCCUACUAUUAAGUGUUCUUGAUAAUUGCGAGUGUUAACAUUAUUACUGCCUCACUGAAUACAUGAUGAACAUGUUUAUUGCUAGUCUUGAAUGGAAUAAGUGUUAAGCACACCUACGGAUUUUUGCAUUAUUAUGUUAUAAAGUAUGUCAUAUUGCAUUGCAUGGAACUUGAUGAUUUGUACGGAGGAAGAGUAGUAGUUUAAUAAUCUACAAACCAGCGGUGUCUUGUCCACGAACCAAGUGGCAGUUAUUUAAUCUACAAACAUGUUGUGCACUCACAACAAGUGGAAGUAAUGGAAAAUUGUGGUUCGAUCUCGAAUCAAGUGGUAGCUUAGCUGCAAGUGUUUUUAUCUAAAAUACUAGUGGUUAAUCCAUAAUUUUUACAAACCCAGUGGCAGCUUUUAUAUGCAAUUACAUUGUGUAUCCACAACCAAUGGUAGUUUAUCUGCAAAUCAGCGGUGGUUCAUCCACAACCCGGAGUGAUAUGGUAAAUGAUUAUAGGGAACUCAUAAGUGAAGUGUGUAGCGAAGUUGGUUAGGACCUUUCUAAUAAAUUGAACUUGCAUUGCCAUACAUUAGCAUAUGCAUUUGAAACCGUGUUUUCUGAAAUAGAGUUGUGAAGUGAUUAUAUGAUAAAUCAUUAAUAUAAAGUGCUUUAUGAUUGUGAUUAUUAUCAAAAUUGCUAACCUACGUGCUUUGCCUGCGAGUUUUGUUUCGGUUUUCUUGUGAACGAGCUCACACUGAGCUUCAUAGCCCACUAUCCUUUAUUUUACAUCUUUACAGAUAACCUACCAAGUUAGGAAGCAGAAUCGACAAAUCGAAGGACUCAGCCCGCAUUGAAGUUUUAUUAAUAUUUUUAUUUUUACCCAUUAUCAUUUAUAAUUCCUAUUAUUUGAGAACUGUAAAGUCUUAUUUAAAUUGUGGCACGGGUCUUAGUUUCAAGUUUAUUUAAGGCACACAUGGUAUUUUCUUUUAGGCUAUUAAUACAUGAGUUUUUAUUUUAUUUCCUAUUGCAUGAAACAUGAUUUACAUUAAAACUAGAAUAGUAUCACUUUUCCUCUACAUUGUUAAAAAAUGAGUUUUUUUUAAGCGAGUAGAUUAUAAAUAAAUUAUGAGAAACAAACAAUCCGAUUAUUAACUAAGUUUCUUCUAAAAUAAACAAAUGUUUUAAUAUGACUGUUUUGUAGAACUCUGAUUAUAUUAGGCCAUUUUGGUGGUUGAUGUAAUCUCUCAGAUUUAGACCUAACGUCUAGGCUAGGUUAGAGAGGUUACAGCACGAUUUAGAUCUCUAACAAAUAUAUAUGGAUUGUGUAUUAAAUAAAAAAAGAUACAACAAUUCAAUUUUAGUUUGUUGACAUUUUCUGGAGAAAAAAAGAUAUAAUUUUGAUUUGGAAGCUUUAACUACAAAUAAUGAAAUUAAAUUAUGAGUGUAUAAAAAACUGAAAUAUGUAUAACAAUGAUCAUAUUUGUAGUGAUUUGUGUAACUAAUAUAAAAUUGAGCAAGUAAAUAUAAAUAUGCAAUCAAGCAUUGAAACACAGAAUUAAAAUUGCAAGAAGCAUGUAUAUGCAUGCAACCAAUCCAAAAACAAUAUAGAGAGAGUUAGAUAAGUCCUUUUACGAUUUGGUAAAUUGCUUCUUCUUUUUUUCUUUAAACGUAAGUAGAAAUAUAGGAAGAGUUAAGUAAUUUUAGGAUAGAAAGUCGUUAGUUUUAUCUUCGUUAAGGUUGACUAAAAAUAAUAAUAAUAAUUUAGUUAUCAACGGUUAUACCUUUUGUUAAUAUGAUUUUUAACUCUUUUUUCUUAAUUAAAUUUGGCAAUUAAUAUUUUAAAAAGUAUCAAAUCGAGUUUUUUAACAGAAAUGCUUAUUAAAAUAUUAAUUUUUAAUAAUAUUGAUAUGGCACUUGUGUAAUAAUUCAUGUGCACAUCAAGCUGACAUGACAUUAUUUAUUUAUCUUGUAUGUCAUGUCAACAAUAAUUUAAUAUUAUAAAAAAUUUAAAAAAAUAAAAUAAAAUAAUUCAAAAAUUCAAGAAAUUAACAUAAAAUACCUAUGAACUAACAUGUUUAAAAAUUUAACAUUUUAAUCAAAAUAUCAGUUAAAAAAUAACUAUUAAACUCUUUUCAAUUAAAAUAAAAUAAAUCUCGAAUGGAUGGUGAAAGUGAAUGAUGAUUUUCUUUUCUUUUCUUUUUUUUAAUAAUCAAUGAUGAUUUUCUAAAAUGUUUAACUGCUUUUUAUCUUUAUAAAUUCUUUUUGAACUUUUAUUUUUUUUAGAAUAUAUAUUUUUAAUUUUAAUAUCCAUGAAUGCCACACAUAGUAUUUUAAUUGGGUAACAGUGUCACAAAUAAACCUUUUUAUUAACAUCUUCGCAUUUAACUGGUUAAUGAAAUAUAAUUUUAAUUAUUAAUUUAGAUAAAAAAAAUGAAUAUAAAAACAACUAAAACAGUAUAAUUUAAAGACAAAAUUAAAAUUAAAGGCUUCGCUUUUCAGAUCUUCUCAGUUGCUUUUUUAUUAUUGAAUAACUUGCUUUUUCUUAUCUAUUUUUACUUUACACUAUGUUGACACUAUCACUAUAUACCUAGGGCUUUAUACUAUAUAUUUUAGGUCAGACACUUUUGAUUUUUACAUGCUAGUGACUGUGCUUGAAAAUUUAAUUAGAAAUUUGGCAGAUGUAUUUUAGAUAAAAAAAAUACAUUAAAAAUAUUAAAUAAAAUAAUUUCGGGCAAAAUACAAGAAAAAACCCUUUUUUUAAAAUUUAUAGAAAUGGGCCCGGUAUUUUAUUAUUUACCGGAAUGGCCCAUUUUCCUCGAAAGCACGUCCACGUCAGCGCGAUGUCAGGGGACGUGGCAAAAAAACGCGUCCCUGAGGGCGCGCUUUGCUUACGUGGACAUAAAUCGCUCCCUCAAGGGCGCGUUUUGUUGCCACGUAAGCGCAACCCUGGGGAUGCGUUUUGCCCGCGCGUGAACAGUAGCAAUGGCUACUUUUUUUACCGUUGGUGACCCCCCAACAGUAAAAAAAAAUAUAAAAACCCCCCCAAACCUUCAUUUUUUUUCACAACUAAAUCCUUUCUCUCAAUUUCUCUCUAAUAUUCUCUCAAAUUCCUCUCAAAUUCCUAUUUAAAAGAGCUUCAAAUUUUUAAUUAUUUUUAAAAUAGUUUUAAAAUUUAUUAUUUUGAAUUAUUUUUUUAACUCGUAAAAAUUUUACCAAUUUAGCAAUGGCCUGGGAAUUAAUUCGUCUUGAUGACAAGCAUAUAUCCAUGGAACAAAUGAAAAUGGUAAGUGUUAAAUUUAUUUUUUAAAUAAUUAUUAUUUUACUAUUUGUUAUAAAAGUCUGUAGAUCGGAUAUUGUAAUGUUAUAUCCGCAAUAUGCAUGGUCCUCCAUCACCGUUGGUAGAGAAUUACCUGCGGGAGACGGGUUUUUGGCACGUGGCAACGGUAGGCCGGGGAUGCAAGUUGGACCCAAAACUCAUCAGUGCGUUGAUUGAGAGGUGGAGACCCGAGACGCACACAUUCCAUCUUCCAUGUGGAGAGUGCACUAUCACUUUGGAAUAUGUCAAUUGCAAUUGGGGUUGCCAGUGGACGGGUACGCAGUCACCGGGUCUGUUCAAUCUGGUGAUUAGGGAGCGGUAUGCUACGAGCUGUUGGGCGCUAUUCCGGAGAAUAUUAACGGAGGUUGAAUCGAGAUGGGCUGGUUACGAGACACAUUCCCGGAUCCGGAUGAUGAUUCAACCGAAAUAGAAAGAAUCAGAUAUACUCGAGAAUACAUUCUUCAGAUAAUUAGAGGUUAUCUGAUGUCGGACUUGUCAUGGAACCUUGUGCAUCUAAGAUGGCUGCUGAAACUCGUUGAUUUUCGAGCAGCUGGUGAAUUUAGCUAGGGGUCUGCCGUGUUGGCAACAUUGUAUCGGGAGAUGUGUGGGGCAACGCGACCGAAUAAAAUGAAAAUCGGAGGUUGCUUAUCACUACUGCAGUCAUGGGCAUGGUUUCGCUUUCCAUUUUUACGUCCUCAAGUGGACCACCCGUAUACAUUCCCACUUAUAAUGAUUUUAUAUUAGAUUUUACAAUUAUUACGUAAAUUUAAAAUAUAAUCGAAUGCUAAAAAUUUAUUUAAUUAGGUAGAACCAUCCGACAAGUUAUGCUCGAUUACCUACCUCUCUUGAAGAUAUACGGCUUCUAUUGGACCAACGGUCGGAAGCACAAGUAAGUAUUAAAUAAAAUAUAUAUUUCCAUAAUGAGAUAGUCGAUUGGUAUUUAGUUUUUAGUACAUAACUAAUAUUUCCAUCAUGGUCAUAUAGUUUGAAUGGACACUAUACGAGGAUCCGACAAUUCAGGCAGUAAUUCCGGAUGAGUACUUGCAAAAUCCAAACGGUUGGCAUGUGAAAGUCUCAUUGGUCAACUUUGCGACUGUGGAAAUGCACCAGUCGGACAGAGUAUUACGGUAAUUUAGAUUCCGACAACCGAUUCCCGUGUCUAAUGAGGUGUUGGAUGAUCAUCACAAAAUCGACCUACAGCAAUUGCAUACGGAUUGGCCGAGAUUUUGGUCACACUACAUCCAGCGUGCGUGCCGGAAUACAUGCCAUGGUUUAGGAUCCAUGGCAAGCCGUAUUUACUCUCGCCAGAGGAGAGCCAGUGGUAAUUGCGUGUCCAAAGGGAACGACGUGGCCCUUUAAAUCCAAGAAGAAGGGAUCAACGAGGCCCAGAAAUUCACCCGGCCCAUCAUCAGCGCUCAUAACUUCAUCAGGCCCAGCAACAGCACCGACACAGUCACCUGACACAGCAGUUCAACUGACGAUACCCACUGCACAGCCUUUUCAGAUGAUGCCAGGUGCGUAUGCUAGCCCUUUUAUGUAUCCUAACCCUUAUAUGUUUCCUUAUCCUAGUCCCGUGGCAGGUUGGAGUCAAUGGCCCGGUUCAUCUCUAUUUUUGAAUACACCGAGUGGAUCGCCAAUGUAUAGGCCAUCGUCACAUGAGGGAUCACAAGAAGGGGCGUCGCGGAGCUCUUCUUUUUACCAAACCCCAUCACUGUAUGGGUUUCAAACACCUUCGUCGUUGGUGAUGCAAACACCUCCACAUUCACUAUUCUACCAAUGUGGCUUAUCGACCCAACACCGACAACCAGAUCCCCUAUCGAAUAAAACAGAAUCCCCGCCGGAGCAACCACAACCCCACCGAAGCCGGACAAAGAAGGAAUCCAGCGUAACCGUCGACGACCGCCAUGUGGCACUGAAUCUGACGGGCACAGAGAUUGAUUUUUAUUUUAAUUUAUUUGUACAAAAUAGUUUAUAUUAAUGUAAUAAAAUACAAAAUAGUUUAUUUUGAAUAUUUUGAUAUUAUUUGAUGUAAUAAAAUACAAAAUAGUUUAUUUUGAAUAUUUUGAUAUUAUUUCAUUUAAUAAAAUACAAAAUAGUUAAUAUUCUUAAUAAUAAAAAUUAUUUUAAAUAAUUCAAUAUGUUGAACACUUGGCAUAUUAUUUCAUUUCACAAAAUAGGUAAAUAUUCAUAAUAAUACAAAUUUGUUUAUAAUGACGUUCAAAUAUUGCGAUUUGGGCAUGAUCGGCUUGUAUGGUUUGGAUUCCUACACCAUCCGCACAACUUGCCUUGACUGGUUGUUUCUCGGAUAUCCAUAUUGUUACGUAUUCUAGUCGAGCAAGGUCAACCCUUCGAUUUGCGAUGCAAUUCUCUAUUCGGUAACAGCUUAAAAGGGGCAAGCGAUACAGGCGGCCACUUACGUUCAUCUGGGACCGGUGGGAAAACGUGUCUCCAGAUGUUGUACAUGUUUUCUAAUUUGUACACUUCGUCGACAUAGCUCAUCGGAUCCAGACGGAGAUUCUGACAAACUGCAAUUACAUGAGCGUAUGGAUAACGAAGUGCAUCAAACAUCCCACAGUCGCAAGUCCUAUUUCAUAAGUGUACACGAUAUUGCCCGCCAAUAACACCUUGGUGCGGUCUGUCAAACUUUGUCAUGCGAAACCAUAAAUUGUCUUCAAUCGUGACACACUGUGUGCAUAGUGUUCGCCCGCGCCUUGGCCUUGUUAAUUUCUUGCACUACCUUACUGCACCAUACAUGGCCUCCCUGCAUCUGGCCUGCAUAACUCGCUGCUCGCUUUGGAAAUAGUGCCGCCAAAUGAAAAUAUGUCUCUCGCACAACCGAUGUUAUCGGUAGAUGGCGCGUUCCUUUUAGAAUAGAAUUUAUGCAUUCAGCCAGGUUUGAGGUCAUAUGGCCAUAUCGUAGGCCGCCGUCGUAUGCUUGUGGAAAAAAAAUUAGGUUUUUGUUGUUGACUGAUUUGAAUGGUAUUAAAUAUUGACAUAAUUGAUGAAAAUUAACACCUAACAUAUGUCAUGUGGGCUAGUUGUUAAUGUGGCAUGUCACAUGGAUAAGUUGUUGAUGUGACAUACCGUGUCAACAUAUUUUUUAAAAAAUAAAAACAUUCUAAAAAUUAUAGAAAAAUAAAAACAUUGAUGUCAAGAAUAAACGUGUACGAUUAUUUAUCCAUAUUAAUUCUAGAUUUAAAUUUUAAAUAAUCUAAAAAUUAUUAAAAAUGGUAAAUAUAUAAAUAAAUGUAAAUAAUUAUUAAAAAUCUAAAAAUUCACGUCCAAAAUGGAUUCUACAAAUAAUUAUCUAGGUUUAUUAUAACCAUUUGCCCAUGUUUCAAAUAUUAUAAAAAAAUAUUAAAAUGGUAAAAGUAUAUAAAAAUUAUUUAAAAAUAUAAAUUUUUUAAAAAAUAAUUAUUGAAAAGUAUCAUUUAAAAGUACCGUAGCCAUAGCCCUAAAUCUAACGUUUGAAAUCAUAAUUUGUUUUUACGAAUUUCGGAUAAAACCCCUUAAAGCUAUUUCCAAUAAAAUAUGGUGCCCUCGUAAAUUUAUAAGUCGAUUUAAUAUUUAUAUUUGAAAAAAACUUAAUAAUAAUUUGCUUCUGCUAUGAACAUCUUAUUAAGUGAAUGUCUAUUAAAAUCAAAAUAAGUUUUGAUGUAUUUUAAACUCUAAUAGUGAUUAGAAAUAGAUCUCUACUUCAUUUAUACUUCUUAUACCUAAAAAUAGAUAUGCUGAAGAAACAUCGUAAAUAUUUCGAUUGACCAACAAAAUACGCUCUCUCUUUGCCCUCUCAUUCUCUUCAUUAUUUACUCUCUGUCUAUUUAUUUUAUAAUAUGUUAUCAGUACGAUUCUCUUUUAAUUGUUUUUCUCCAUAAGUCCCAAAAAUAUACCAAAAUUUACUAUUGUCGAUUCCUCCAAAAGCUACUUCUAUUUCAAUUAAGGUCUACGCACUAUAGAUAAUCAUUAGAACCUUUAACAACUCAGGUACACAUAAAUCUCUAAAAAAAUGUUAUGCCCUUUUAUGCAAAGAAAUCUAUAUAAUUCUUAUGUGGUAUGUUUUUCUCCUUUGUUAAUUGAUUUUUUGGUAAAAUUAUUUUAUGGGAAAAUAUUAUUACUUUAAGGUUUCUUUUAAAUUAAGAUUCUUUUAUUAAAUUAUAGUAUGUAUAAUAUUUAGAAGUUUAAAGAUUUGAUUAUUAAUUUAUUGUUAUUAAAUAUUAUUGUAAUUUGAUUAAAAUUAUGGUGGAAAGUGUUAUUAACCUACCAUAGUUGAUUAAAGGGAAAUUUGAUAGGAUCUAUUGAAUCUUAUUAACUUGCUAAUGUUGAAUGAUUUUAUUAUAUCUUUUAAACUGAAUGUAUAAAUAUUUGAUUAGAAGCUUUGUAAGAUUUUAUAACAUAUAUGUGGUCUUGAAAUUUGGUACAAUGUAUAUCGGAUAACUUUCAAGCAUCGUACACAAAAAUUUUGAUUGUUUAUUAAAUGAUUUCUACUAUUAGAUUAUAAAUGUUAUUACGAAAACAAAGUUGUUUUACUACUUGUAAUAGUGCUCGUGAUAAUAGCCAGGGUGAUGACGAUCAUGUGAAAGAUCUUCAAGUAUAUUUUACUAUGAUUUAUUAUAUCAUGUUUAUUAUAAUUGGAGACUAAUCAUGACAACACGAAUAGAUGGAUUUUAAUUUGAAAUCCACGCAUGUUUGCGAUGGUGAUUAUGAAAUAAAAAAUCUUUGGGAUGUUUAUAAGUUCACCCUAGUAAAUCUAUUGCAUUCCUUGAAGUGAACGCAAGCAUAAAAGAAAAUAAAAAUCAAUAUUAUUCUAGUAUUUGGUAGUACAAAAUUAGUCGAAAGCUCCAAAAGAGCUAAUAUAUUAAUAUAUUGUGAUAGUUAAUCCAUUGAUUUUAAAAGAUAUUCAUAAUGGAUCUCAUAUUGAGAUUGUGAAUGAGGAAAAUAUUAUAUUUUAUAUGAAUCAAAAGAGGAUUGAAUUAUUGAUUACUCUUGAUAUUAAAUUGAAUUUACUGUGACUAUCUUUGUGAUCUUCUUUUGUCAUCAUCCUCAUUAAAGGGUUUGAAAGCAAAAUAUUUGACUGAGAAAGAUCUACUUAUGAGCAAUAGAAUAUGGCAAUUCUAUCUAAACCUCGUUAUGGUUGGAUGCACCUAAAUUUGCAAGUUAUUUUUAAAAAAAAAACUAUGAGUAUAACUCUAUAGUAUUCAAAAUAAGUUCUCAGUUAAAAUUACGUGGAAAAAUAUUACUGAUGAAAACUUGCAAGAGAGAAAACUUAUGUAUGAAAAGUCAUUGGUUAUGUACAUGUUGUACACUUGGAAAAUAAGAUACACUCUCAAAGUUUGCUAUUAAUAGAUUUUAAUUUGAUUCAAAGUCUACUGCUGGAGUUUAAUUUGCUUACUUCUUGAUAAAAUCGUCAAGACUCAAUGCAGGAAAAAAUAUUUUGGCAUAUUCCUUUAAGCGAAUAUUGCAUAUAAUUGUUUGAAAUUUAUAUUUAUUUUGUUGACUUAGUGACAUUAUAGACUUCAUAUUGAUUUAGACGUUUCUAGUAGUAAAUGUCACAAUAAUAUUUAUAUGUGGAUACAAAGUAAAAGGAAUGAUAGUAAGAUUAUCAAUUUGUCACAAUUUAUAUUGACAAUAUUAGUACAAUUGAAAUACAUGUUAAAGUAAACCAGAAGUUUACUAAUACAAAUGCAUUUAAUACUUGGCGUGACCAGUUGGACCAUCUUGAAUCAUAUAUGAUGCGAAAAUUAAUUGAGAAUUCAUAUGUACAUUCAUUAAAAACCAGAAGAUUUUUUUAAUUUAAAGAAUUCUCAUUUGUUGCUUGUUCUCAAUAAAAAUUGCUUAUUAGAAACUCACUAGAUAAAUUUGAUAUUUAAUGUCUUGCAUUUCUAAUUUGAAUAUGGGCUCAUUCAUCCACCAUGUGGAUGGUUUUUAUAUUGUAUGAUUUUGGUAAAUGCAUCUAUAAAAUAAUUGCAUAUGUGUUAUCAACUUGCUACAUGUUGCUUGCAAGAUUGUUUGUUUAAAUAAUUAAUUUCAGAUCAUGCAAUUAAUACAAUUCAUCUUGCUAAUACUGAUGAGUUUAUAUCUCAGUCUUUUAUUGAUUGAGUUUGAAAAACUUCUGUAAAAUUUUCUUAUUGAUGCGCAUAAUGAUUUAGAAAAAUUAUUGAUUGAAUGCCUCUGGUUAAUGUCUAAACCAUUACUUAUGAUAACUAAACUUCCUAUUUCAACAUGAGAUUAUGUUGAUUUAUGUGUUGUACGCAUCAAGCCAAUAAGUUAUAAAUACUCUCCAUUACAAUUGAUUUUGGGUCAAGAGCUAUCAUCUUUGAAUUUUUGUAUGUGAGUAUAUGUUCCAAUUAGUUCACCACAACAAAAAUGAGUGAAUACUCAAAGAAAGUUGGGAAUAUAUAUUAAUUAUGAGUCUUCUUGUAUUAUUAUGUGUUUUAAUUGUAUUGGAGAUUCAAUUAUAACAUGAUUUGUUAUUACUAUUUUGAUUCUAUAGUUUUCCCAACAUUAGGGGGAGAGAAAUAAUAACUUAUAAUGAGUUAAGGGGGAGUAAUUUGAACUAGAAGUUCAAUUACAAGUUCCAAAUAUGAAAAUUAUCAUAAAAGAAACAAUAAAUCUAGAUGGUCAUAUAGUGAAGGCGGGUGCUCUAGAAGAAACCCAAUACAUAACUAAUACGUAACUCCAGAAGAGAUUUAGGUAGCUGAAACUGAAGAUUAAAAUUGUGAAAAUAAGAUAUCUCGAUAAGUUAUGUCAAUUCAAGAAUAUGUGGAACUGAUAAUUAAAGUGGCUGGCAAUGGUUUUGAAUGCAAUAUUAUUAUUGAAAUAAUGAAAUAAAAAGAUAAUCUUGAAUAAAUCUAUUGAGAAAUGAAAGUUCGAUCAAGCAACUCGAAAAUGCCAAUAAGGGAGGUGAAUUGGCCUUUAAAAUUUUGGUGAAAGCAAAGGCAAGAAUGAAACAAAGAAUUUAGAGUGGUUCGGCCCCAAUUGCCUACUCCACUACCUUAGCUUUCCACCACUAAGGAUUUUUCCCAAAUUCACAAAUUUGUUCAACCUUUGAGGACAAGGUUUAACCUUACAACUCCUUAAGAUUUUUACCCCAAAUUUUAAGUUUCAAAACCUCUCAAAGAUAUACAAAUAAGCAAACAAAGAAACUAUCCUUACAAGAUAAAUUUAUUUGCAAAUUGAAGCACAAAUACAAUGAGAUACACUUGAGCAAAAGAAAAAAGAUAAGGCUCACAAGUGUAUGUAAGAAGAAUAUGAAAAUUUAAGCUCUAAGAUUGUUUGAUUUAUGAUUUUUUCUUGAAAGUACUUUAUUGGAUGUUGUAGGACUUUAAAAGAUGGUAUUUAUAUCCCCUAAUAGAUUUCCAGCCAUUGAGGUUGUUGGUGAAGAUAAUAUGGUCGUUGGGAUGUAAAAUCAGUGCAUUUAUUUCACCUACAACUGCGAGUAUCAAUACCUCCAAAAAGGGUAUUGAUAUUCUUUUGUCAUAAAUGCUAAUUUAGUGACAGUUGGAAUGAAAUAAUCGAUACUUCAAAAAUAUUUUAUCGAUACUUCCUAGAAUAGGUAUUGAUACCUGAUCGAUACUUUGUAGGGUUUAUGAGAAAUAGAAUACAAUUUUGGUAUCGUUCUUAAGAAGGGUAUUCAUUAUUUUCAAAAAGUAUCGAUACCGAAAGCAUAGUAUCAAUAAUUUUUAAGGUUUUGAGAGAAUGUCUUUUUGGUCUCGAUUUUUCUAAGGCUAUUGAUUAUUUUCAAAAAGUAUUGAUACUUGGCCAAAUGGUAUCGAUACUUUUUGGCCUGGAGCAAUUCUAACUUGUUUGAAAAUCAUUUUGAUGUGCUAAAAUGAUUUUAACUUAAUUGAGAUCAUUUUGACUUGGUUAAAAACAUUUUCACUUGAUUUUAAAAUUGUUUCAAAAUUUUCUAAGAGUUUAUUGUAAGUAUUCAAAUUUUUAUUUCUUAGAAUUCAAAUUAAAAAUUAUUUUGCCAAACUUAGCUUAUAUUCAAAAACAAUUUUAAUUUAUUAUAUCAAAUUUUUUUAUCAAACAAAGCUUAGUUUAACAAUCUCCCCCUUUUUGAUAUAACAAAAUAUUUGGUAAAUUUAUUUUUGAAUAAUUGUCCCCUUAAUAAAAGACAUUUUAAAUUUGAGGCCAAAAUAAAAUUUGUCAUUCAAGUUGGCAUUCAUUCUUACUUUAAAAAAAAUUUUGGUCACAAAAAUUUGCAUUUAGUUAUCAACAAAGAGUAAUCUCAAUCAAUUUACCCUUUCUUCUCCCCUUUUUUGUUAUAUCAAAACACAAAUAAAGCUUAAAGAGAAAAGAAGUUAGCUCAUCAAAAGAUAGAUAAAGUGAAAUGAGCAUCUAAAAAUAUAUAUCCUAAGAUACAGAUGAAGCAAUAAAGUGCAAUAACAAGUUAUAGGCAUAAGCAUAAAAAUAAAUGUGCAAAUUUUAUGAAAAUGAAAUGUAUAGUCUAGAGCUAGUCUAAUCAUCAUGAUGAGGGAAGAAAGGAGGCUUCAAAGGGGAACGGGCUAAGAGAGAUGCCAUUUGCGUCUCCAAAGUCAAGAGAUGAAAGUUAACAUCUUCCCUAAGACCUUGAAUGUUGUUACUCAAGGAAUGGAUAGCAUCGAGGAUAUCACUAUUAACCUCGGAGGAGGUUGAGCAGUAUGCGACAAAGAAAGUGGUGGAGCAAUGGACUCAGGUACUAGAAUAUCGUCAAAGGCAGUGUCGACGUCAUCAUCUUCAUUACCCCUCGGUUGUUCAUGUUUCAUCCAAGUGUUGGUGGCAACAUCGAAAUGAUAUCUCGCAUGAUGUAGAGCCCCAUAACUAAUAGGUUGAUUAGAAGAAACGAAGGUGUCCCCAUGGGUGCUAAUGCCUAAUUGCCUAAGAACAUAUGAAAAAUACGUACCAUGAGGAAGAGUGAUAUUUUUAUUCAUCCCUCUUCCAAUAGCUUUCGUAAUGUCAUUAAAUAAGACAAGUGCAAGGUCAAGGCACCUAUCAGACUUAAAACAAUCGAGCCACCAAUAAUCGGUGUUUUGAAGCUUGGCAUGCUUUUUGAUAGGUUUUAAAGUCCAAGUGAGAAUUAAAUAGAGGACACGAUCAUGGAGAUUGAGUUCGAAUGUCGAUCCGGACUAGAUAAAAAGGGAGGGAUCAAAAUGCCCUUUUUCAUCGGAGGAACCUCCGGAAGGUAAUUGAAGAAAAUUGCAAAACUCUUCGAGAGUGAGACGAAUAGGAGUUCCCAUUAAAAAUGAGGUGAUGGCAAUAACGGUAUCACCGGACUCAUCAUGUUCGAGUUUGGCAUUUGAAAAUAAAGCUCGAACAAGAUUUAAAUAAGUUGGUGAAGAAAUAUUUUAAAAAUCCAUCCACCCCUCAAUUUUGUAAAAUAGAGAGAUAAGAAAAAAUAAUAGCUUCUAACAUGGCUAUAUUAAUUUUCCUAGCCUCCCAUACACGUUUUGAUGCAAAAUACAAGUUAAAAACAUACCAAGAGUGUGAAUCUUGAAAACAAGUGCUAAACGAUGACUCCAACUCACUAGAUGGGUUAGAAGAAGAUGCACUAGUCCUAGAACGCUUCAUUGGGGCCAUACUAGCUAUUAACCACUUAGAAAAACACUAAAACCAAAAAAAAAAUCUCUUUGAGAAAUUUUGUCGAACACUUGGUGGUUAAAGUUUAAAAAUAAAUUUAAGAAAUAUGUUUUGUAACGCCCUAACUAAUUUAACUUUGUUUCUAUGAACUCUAUCAUAAUUGAGUAUCUGCUUUAGUGGCUAAGUGUUUUGAUUGUGUGUUUGAGGUCUUGGGUUCAAGUCUCACUCUUUGGAAAGUUCUGUUAUUUUUUUUUCUAAUCUUAUCCUAGGCGGUUUGGCUUAUAUUCUAUUGCUAGUCAAAUUAUAUUAGAAUGACCCUGUUGGUUCGAGUGGUAACAUGUUAGCUUGCCCUGUAGUCUCGUGUUUGAAUCCAUGUUGUAACGUGAAUGAUAAUUUUUGCUGCAGUUGUCUGAUAGAGUUUCGACAGAGUUGAAAUUCUAAGGUAGUUGGAUGUGGAUUGAGGUGUCAAAUUUUAAAGGAUUAGGUUGGUUAGUGGGUUAGUGGGGAGUUGGGGGGAAAUUAGUGAUAUUUUAUUAAUAUUUUAUUUUAUUUUAUUUUUUCCCAAAAAAAAUUUCCUCUGUUUCUAACGUUCCUCAUUUUUCCCUUCUCUGCAAUUUAUUUUCUUUUUCAUUUCCUUUCAAUUCUGUCCACAACCUUUUAUUCUUAUCGUUGCGUCCAGAUUUUCGGUGUUCUUCAUGCGGUUUUGGUAAGUGGGGUUUCACUCGUCUAUAGGUUUCGGUUUCUGUAAGAUUGUUUGGAUUUAUUCUUUUUAUAAAAGCGUAAUGGUGUAAUUAGAGAAUCUGAUUUGAUUUGAAAAUUGUUAUGUAGGAGAAGGCUGUGAAGUAGUGGGUUUUACUCUAACUACCUAAAUUGUGUCUGCGGAGGUUUUCGUCGGUGAUAAGUUGGGUGCAUUGUUGGAUUAUUGUUGAUGAAUUCAUAAAUUAAAUUGCUAAAAAGGUGUUUGGUAUAUUGUUUUUAGGGUUCGGCGUUCUCGAGUUCACUGUAGCAUAAAAAACGAACCAAGUGUGUAACAAAAAAGCGAUAAAAUAAAGUUCGAUAAAAGCCAAAAAAGUGGCCUGUCGACACCGCACAGACAUAUGUGAACCCCUCUUGCAUGCGAACUCAUACGUAUAAACCCCUAUUAAGUGAACCCAUAUGUAAAACCAUACGGGAGUGAAUACACGAGCCCUUGGAACAUACAUGCGAACCCUAGUUGUUAUGACAUGCGUACACAUAUUUAUACGAGCCAACUUGUAUAAUUAUGACAUGUGAACUCCCCUUUACAAGCUAUUACUUGUGAGCACCUUACUGCUAAUAUAUGUGAUCUUAUUUGAUUCUAUAUGUGAACCAUGAUAUGUGAACCCUAGAAUUAUGCGAGCCUAUAUGUGGACCCUAGGAUUAGGUGAGCCUAUAUGUAUGUGACCCCUAGAAUUAGGCGAGCCUAUAUGUGAAACCUAGGAACAUGCAAGCCUACAUGCGAACCCUAGGAAAAUAUGAAUCUAUGUGCGAACCCUAGGAACUUGUGAGCCUAUAUGCGAUCCCUAGGUUCAUGCAAGCCUAUAUGCCAUGCGAACCCGAGGUACAUGCGAGCAUAUAUGAUCAUGUGAACUUGUAAAUGUGUUAAAUAAUUAGACUGAUAAUUCACAUAAAAUCCUGUGCAUGUGACACUGUUUUAUUUGUUUACUUGCACUAAUUAUAUGUAAUUGUGUGAUAAUUAGAUAAAUGUAUGCUACAUGCGUUAUAACGCCAAUAUGAAAUAUUGAAGAUAGCAUAAAAUAAGGAUAAAAAGCAUAGAACAUGCUAAUUUUAUGUGCAUAAUUACACAAAAUCUGGGAUGGAGUACGGAGGAGUUCCGUAGGAGACAAUAGCAAAUUAAGUCCACAUCCAAAGUCAGUACUGCGCAAAGUAGGUGACAAUGUCAUCUAAAUCAGACAAGACGAGAUGGUAGAUUAAAAAUACCAUCACAACUUAACCAAACCAGGAUGAUAGUUUAAAAAGUCAUCAAAACCAAGCAAUCGAGAUGGUAAGUUAUUAUAGUAAACGUCACCAUCACAGGCAACAACUGAACAACCAUCAUCACCGAAAAUCAAACCGGGAUGACAAGAUUAUAGUGGGUUUUUGGAGUGUCGAGCAACGCUCGAGGGUGAAUAGGAUGUCAUGUGUCGCGAAACUAACUAAAAAUCUGAUAAGGCAAGUGCAUGUACUAAUUAAUAAUAUAGCUACGGUGAGCAAAGAUACCAUUCCUACAAAGACUAAAAGUAGUAAUAAUUACCGUUUUUCUAUUAUUUAACUAAUAAAUUGAAGUGAUUGAUGAAAACUAAAAUUAACUAAAUUAAUUAACUACGAACACAAAAAAGAAGAAUUCAGGAAAAUAAUCGAUUAACAACAAAGAAAUAAAACAAUGCCCAGGAAAGAAUUUACCUACACUUCAUUUGUCACUAUCAAUCUAAAUUACGCAAUUUAUUUACUUAGCAUCUUGAUCCGUGGAAAUCCUUAAAUUAUGCUAAUAUCUCUUUCGAGAGUAAGAGCAACUGACUCUAGGUUGAUUAAUUGAAAUUUCUUUCUAAUUAAAACACUUAUUAUAGCAUUAACUCGAUUUAUGGAUUCCCCUAUCAGAUUUGACUUUAAUCCAGUAGAUAUAUGUCAUCCUAUUUCUAGGAUUGCAUGCAACUCCACUCAAUUACGCUAGAUCUACUCUUAAACAGAGUCUAUUCCUCAUUUGAUUUAAGCGCAUCAAACAUGGUAAAUAUUCUACAAAUAUCAAACCAAGAAUUAAGCAUACAUAAUUGAGAACAAGAUCUAAGUAUUUAUUGCAUAAAAUAAAAAUCAAACCAUAGAAUCCAUCAUAAGGUUCAUCUCCCUAGGUAUUUAGAAAAUUAGUUCAUGCUUGCAAAUAAAAUCAUCCAAGACACGGUAUAAUCAAAAUAAACAAAGAAACUCACGAUAAUCUCCUAAGAAAUCAACUGGGAAUCUUCAAUAUUGAAAGAAAUCUGAUUAAAUGCUAAAAAUGCAUAUUUUAUGUAAUUAAAUUGGUUAAUUUAUGAGAGUGCACCACUGAUUUUUCCAUGUUUAUAUUGAAUUUUAUAUAGGGGUGCAAUUUGGGGUCAAAAGAGAAAAAGGAGAAGCAAUUAGACUAGAUUGAAUAAAGGAGCAAAAAAAGAAGGGCCAAAGCAGAAUUUUUCCAAGAUUUAAUUAGCUGAAAUUUUAUGUUGACUUAGUAGGAGAUUAUGUAGGGAUUUUUAUAUCAUGAAAUAUUUUAUUUCCUUGAUUUUCUAUGGCUAGUGGCUCUUAAUUUGGCAAAGCCACUAGUAUAAAUAGGGGCUACUAUGUUCAUUCAUUCAUCAAGUCAUAAAUCAAGCUUUCAUCUUUGAAUGCAAUCUCUUCUUCAUUCUCACGAAGUUAUUUGUUGUUUUUGGUUUCUUUUUCUUUCAAUUUAUUAACUUUUAGUUUGUCACCAACUUGAACCAUUUACAAUUUCUUUUUCAAACUUCCUUUUCAUUUCUAGUAGCUAGCCAUCCCACUUUAAUACACUACCAAAAUUCCAGCCCCCAUACUUAAUCACGCCACCCAUUCUUUUUACCCAUUUUUACCUUAUUUAAUUUAUCCAACUCCAAUAUGCCCCAAACCUUAGUUAACUAAAUUCAUUUUCAACUUUGUCGGAAUUAGCCUCGUCAAAACCCGUGAGUUACGAACCCGAGCAAUUUAACUCCUAAAUUCCAGUACUUAUUAUUUCUCCAGAUUAAGAGUAUGAUUUUGUCAACUCACAAAGUCAGAUCAACACUAAGUCAAAAAAAGACGUCGUUUGAGUUAGUGUGGUUAGACGUACAGUUGGAAUUCCGAAAGGAUCGAUUGUCUGAUUGGUUUUCCGUGAACACAUUGGCGUGCCAAGUGGGGAUUGCUGUUUGGUUCCGUCAAGGGAAGUAGUAAUUGGAUUUAAGUGUCCCACGCAGUUGAGGGCAUUGGUUCGAGCUAGGCUCUUCUAGAAUGCAAAGCUGCCGGAGUUCUAAAUCACGAACGUUUUGUUGGUUGUUCGAUCGGUAAGGGUUAGUUAUUGGAAGUUCCUUAACUAAUUUACACAAGGAAGAGUUGGUGUCCGAGGCGUCCUUGGUAGCUAUAACUAGCUUAUUGGAAAAGAGGAGUUCAUCUAAUUUCGAGGAUCAGUUCAAAGACGAGGGAAAACCCGUGCCUAAAGUUGAGCUUAGUUUAAUUAAUUUUUCUUCAGAUCUAUUUAACUAUUUUUAUUAUUUUAUUUUCAGAUUUUACUUUUCACGCAUUUUUUUCUAUUUAUUUUAGGUUCUAGGUUUUCAAUUUUAUCCUCCCCCCAAAUUUCUUGGGCACGACAACUGUCUAAACACGAAUCUGGUCGAGAAAGAGAGGAACAAUUCGCAGUAAACCCAGUCUCUGAGGGAUCGACCCUACUCCCUAUACUGUUUAAAUUUGCAAAUUAGGGCGUAGUUUUAUAUUAGUGGAAUCGACAGCCAUCAAAAUCUGCUUCAGAAUCGGUUUCAAUGGUGUUUUUUGAGUUGUUUUCUUGAGUACUCUAUGACGGCUCUCUCAUAUCUUCUUAUUUUUGUCAUAUAUACAUCUUAGAAUAGCUAAAAAAAACCUAAAAAUUGUGUUUUCUCGCAGUUCAGAAUGCCAAUUCAUGAAAUCGACAUGACUUGCCACAUUGCAGUGUGGCAGCCCAUGUGUCUUACAUGACCGUGUGGAAGGGUUCAACCCAUGUGGCUUCUGUACCUUACUCUAAUUUUCACUCGUUUUUCACUCCUUUUGCUCCCAAAUACUCUCCAAAGCAUAAAAACAUGAAUUUAAAGGAUUAGGAGAAUAAAAUUAACCAUUAACAUUGAAUAAUCACCCAAAAAUGCAUUAAGAAUGAGAUUGAAACAUGUUACUUUUAUCACUUGUCAAGAUGGAUGGGUUGGAACUUAAAUUAUAUGUUGCAUCAUAUAUAAUUGUUAUUCAUUGAUUUAUUAUAUGUUUCAUGAGGAAUGCUUUAAUUUAUAUCGACUUUCAUUUGAGUUAUAGUUGUCAAUUAUAUGGAAUGAUUUAGAAUUUAGUCUCACACUGAGCCGUUUUAUGCUCAUUCCCCCUUUCUUUCCCUCUCAGGUAGCAUAGAGAACUAAGACUCGGAAUGGCAUUAGAAGAACCUCGGAUUAGUAACUCCUUUUUCUUUUUUAUUAUUUUUAAGUUUUUAUUAAAGUUUUCUUUAAUCAUUUUAUUUUCGAGUUGUAAGUAUUUCUCGCUUUUAUAUCUAGGGUAAAAUUGUUUAGCUUUUUUAUUUUAAGGCAUGACACUUAGUUAAUACUCUGAUAUUCACAUGCUUUUCGGUUUAGAAACCAUCACUCUAAAUUUUUUCCACUGCUUUACAAAUACUUAAAGUUUUAAUAAGUCCUUUCUUAAAAACCUUACAUCGUUUUCCAAAAUAUUUACAUUAAUAAUAUUGUAAUUGAAUUUUUAAGUAAAGUUGGUUUAAAUCAAAUGAAUGUUUUCCUAAAAAACAAAAGAGCGACUUUUCAUACAAAUCAACGCAAAUAAAAGAGAGGCUUUUCAGGAUCACCUCAGUGAUCGAAUGUAAUGUCUUCAACUUAGCCAAAACUCCUAAGUCAAGUCGGGGUUGUUACACUAAUCAACCCUCCAAAAAAUAAUCCUUGGAAAAUUGAAGGAUGAAAAAUGAAAUCCCAUGACUUCUUAAAAAAUCGAGAAGAAAACUACUUCUAAAUAUCACAAGAAAGCAAUCUUGCACAAAGAAACUAACUCCCAGAGUUAGAAAUUUUAUUAAUGAACAAAAACAAUUGUGUAUCUAAUGAACAAUGAAGAGGCCUUUAUAUAGGCUAGCUAAUUACAUCAAAUAAAACUCUCAAGUAUAACAAACCUCUAAUUAACAUAACAAAGAAGUAGUUUUAAACUAAACUUUUUUGUUUGACUAAGAAAUAUAAAACUCCUAAGCAACUUAAAAUACUUAAAAAAAUCUAAAAUUCGGAAUAAAUAAAUAAUAAAAUAAUAAAACCUAAUCAAUACCAUAUUGCGCUCAUAUAUAAUAAAAACUAAGCUUAAAAAUUGAACCCAAUAUGAUUUAAACGGGAAUUAAAAGCUCGAAAAUCUUAAUUUCCAUAAUAAUCUCGUCCAUGAAUCAAGUGAUUCAAAAUGCGUUUCAAAGCUAAGAGAUAGAUAUUCAAAUUCUAUCAAGAAUCUCAACCAAGAAAUGCCUAAAUAUCAUCCAAAAAGUCAUCACAAGUCAACUAAAUUUCCAAACUUCAAAAUUAGCAGCUUCAGUGAAUGGAAUUUAAUAAAUUUCACCUCAUCCGUGCAUGUAUCAGUUUUCAUAGUAUUUUGAGAGGUAAUUUUAACUUUUAGGUUAGUUUUUAUUACAUUUUAUAGUUUUUCAUAUUAAUUAUAUUUUAUUUGAAUGUUGUUCUUUUUUUUAUCAUUUUUAGAGUUAGUUCAAGUUUACUUGAUAUUUUUCUUUCUCCAUUGUAGGUAUUCGAUGAAGAAUGGAAGACUUGAAAAAAACAAAAAGUGGUGAAGAGAAGCCUUCUGCUCCACCGCCCUCUAUCAAAUCUAAUUCAAUAUGGUGGAGCAUGUUUUAUAUUUGGUGGAGUGGCGCGAUAAAAAAAACCCUAAAAAUAAGCGUGGGAAAUUUUAAGAAUGAAAAAGGGAAAGAAAAAGAGAAGAAAUCACUGGGAGGAAAAAAAUUAUCUCACACCAAGGGAAACUUCAAUUUGCAAAGACAAGAAGAAAAGGAGAUCCAAGGAGCUCGAUUCACCUUCUUCAUUUAUUUUCUCUCUAAAUUAUUUCUUUUACUUUUAUUGAAGCAAAUUUGUUUUAAAUUUCUUUGUAUGAUGUUUUCUCAACUCAUGAUGAACCUAACUUUAUUUUCUUGGAACUAUGAUGGAUUUUAUAUCUUAAUUAAUUAUUUUUCUCUUCAAUUGUGUUGCUCAAUGUUAAUUAUUUGUGCAAUUUCGUGUUAAUUUAAUCUCCUAGCUCGACCCCCAAGUUGUAUUAAUUUGUCUUGAAAGAGGAAGUUAGUGUUGAGAUCUAGAUUGAAUAGAUUAAGAUUUAACUUUGGUAGCGCUAAUGAACAAGUUAAUUUGUGGCUAGGAUAGGAAUAUACCUUAUGCUCUAAUCAAUCCAAUAGGUUUGUUCUUAAUGACUUAACCCAACUUGCCUAGCAUAGGAAUAUAUUUAGGGAUUAACUUAGCUAGAUAAAGGAAGGAUUUAGUUAAUGACAUCGAAUCUUGGGUUAGUAAUUACAUAGAUUGAACAAUUGAAUGAUGUUUAAUUAAAUAAUUAGAUUAGAUGAGGUGAAGUUAGAGUUUAUUUUAUUGAUCUGGAUUAAAUAAAAUUAAAUUGUUUGUAUUUAACAACUUAAAAUUUGAUCCACAUGGGAAUAAUUUCUUCUUAUUACUUUAUUAUAUUGAUAGACCGUAUUACAAAUUUCAAGAAUAAAAAAUAUAAUGAAAAACUAUUGAUAAUAAACUUUAUAAUUAUAAAUAUUAAUGAAUGAUGAAUACUAAUAAAUUAGGAGUACAUGGUUGACACAAAUGAUUAGUCAACCAUUCAUGAAGCAAUUUGGCAUCAAAUUGUAAGAGUAAACCAUUUAAACACCAAAGUUAAAAACAUUAAAAAGAAUUAUAACAUAGUUGUUAUAUUACUAGUGAUUCAAUGACAUGUCAAUGUAAUAUCUAUCAAAUGUUACAAUGUUUAACAUGCUACUGCCAUGCUCACAUAAAAUAAUUAAUUUUUUUACAGUUAGAUAUUAAGAGAAAUAAUAUAUAACAAGUAUUGAUAGUAAAUUUCAUAAUUAUAAAAUGGUAAUGCAUAAUAAAUAAUAUUAUUAGUAAUAAUGUUUAAAAGGUUCAUGGAAAUAUUCCAAUGACAUUAUAAAUUUAUAAAAAUAUUAUAAUAUUCAUAUUUUUAAUUAGAAAAUAUUAUAAAAUUCACAUUUUAAAUAUACAAAAAUGGAGAAAGAUUGUAUAUUUAUUUCCACUUAUACUAAAAUUUAAAUUUUAUGCUAUGUUUUAUAUUAAUAUAAUAUCAUACAACGUAUUUUAAUUAUAUUUUAAUAAAAAUAUUAAAUUAACAUAUUAUAAUUCGAUAAAAUAAAUUGAAAUUAGUAUAUGUAUAUAUGUAAAAGUAAUGUUCAAGCCAUUGGUCCCAUUGACACUAGUCCGAAUUUAAAGCUCUUUUUUAUAUAUUUUAAAUGAAUGGUCCAAUUUCAUUUUGGUCCCUAUAAUAUGCUCAAAGUUUUAAUUUAACAUUUAUAUUGCAUUCAGAUUAAAAUAUUAACAUACGUAUGUCCAAAUACACAACCUUUUACUUCUUUUUCAAGAAUAUAUAAUAAUGAUCAAAUUUGAGUUUUGAUUCCUAUAUUAUACUCAAAUUUGAAAUUUAAUCUUUAUCCUUUAAUUUUUAAGGUAACUUGUUAUCUCAACUUUUAUAAUGUCAUUGUUAAUCUAAAUACUUCAUUUUGAUUAAAAUACUAAUGUACAUGUGUCUACAUGUAGCUUCUUUUUUCUUUUUUACUUUUUAUAGAUUAUAUAAUAAUGGUCAAUUUUCAAUUUUAAUCCCUAUACUAAUCUUAAAUUUGAAAAUUAAUCUCUAUAUUUUAGUUUUUGGACAUAACUUGCUACUUCAAUUUUUUUAAUAUCAUUCGUUAGUCUAAAUACCCUAUUCAAAUUAAAACAUGGAGGUAAAUUUUUAAGAAUUGUCAAUGCAGUUAAAGUUCUUUGUUAAAUUUAAGAUAUUAGAUUGUCUUUUUUUUUACAUAACUAUCAAAUGAAUAUUUUUAAAAUUUUCAACAUGUCACCCCAGCAAAUGUAACAAAAAGAAAUUUAAUGGUAUUAACAAUUGGAGCUAAAUUUUUAAAGUCAAAAAGCAAAGAGACCAAGUUCAUAAAAAAAAUUGAGAUUAAAUUUAAAAUGUAGAACAUAUUUUGAUUAAAAAAAUUAAUUGAAGCAACGUAGUGCGUGGUGGAAACAAUACUAAUAUAUGAUUAUUGGUGAGAAAUCACACGACUAUAAGAUACCAAUCGAAACACAACACAUACAAAGAAAUAAAGGAAAAAGAAAACCCGAAGCUCAGUACAAUUAUGUGAAGUAGAGGCUUAUAAUAAGCAUGAUUUUCCCUCACAUUUGAGAUCACAUAUGGAGAACCAGGAACUAA
RNAcentral lists this long non-coding RNA (49154 nucleotides) under Gossypium barbadense (sea-island cotton). RNAcentral describes it as "long non-coding RNA (GBAR_LNC019894)". Lineage: Eukaryota; Viridiplantae; Streptophyta; Magnoliopsida; Malvales; Malvaceae. The record is from RNAcentral.